Molecule: long non-coding RNA, 74552 nt
Filed under: Fragaria vesca (wild strawberry)
Lineage: Eukaryota; Viridiplantae; Streptophyta; Magnoliopsida; Rosales; Rosaceae
Description: long non-coding RNA (FVES_LNC003210)
Source: RNAcentral
UUUCAACAGUCUAAGCACAUUAGUACAAGCUAGGAUAUAUAAUGAUCAAUGAACUACUUGACUUUCUAACUUCACUUUCCGGGAACAAAGUUGGUGGCAUAUGACCAAACAUUGUUGUUAACAGGGUCAGCCAAGUGAUCAGCUAGGUUCUCAAUCGGUCCAUUUCCUGUCACAAUAGCUUGCACAAAAAACCCGAACAUGGAGAACAUGGCUAAUCUUCUUGAGCUCCUUCACUUUAAGCUCAGCAAAAGCCUCAGGAUCGUCUGCAAGCCCUAAGGGGUCAAAGCUCCCCCCAGGGUACAAAGGGUCUACAACUUCACCGAGAGGUCCUCCUGCAAUUCUGUAGCCUUCAACUGCACCCAUCAAGAUCACUUGUGUUGCCCAGAUUGCCAAAAUGCUCUGAGCAUGAACUAAGCAUGGGUUUCCCAAGUAGUCUAGUCCACCCUCACUGAAGAUUUGAGCUCCUGCCUUGAACCAAACAGCUUCUCCGAACUUGCUCCAUUACGAGCUAGGAAUUCAGGGAAGACACAUCCUAGAGCACCGAGCAUGGCCCAUCUUGAAUGGAUGACCUCGAGCUCACGGUUCUUGGCAAAUGUCUCGGGAUCGACUAAGAGCCCAGCUGUGUCCCAACCAUAGUCACCGGGAAACUCUCCGGUGAGAUAAGACGGGGCUUCAUUGGAGAAUGGGCCCAAGUACUUGACACGGUCAGGACUGCACCAUGGGCUGCCGGAUGACACAUUUUUGGACUUGGCUGCGGUUUUGCGCAUGGUGAUUCUGCCCUCACCGAGGAGGUUGGAUGUAGAAGAACCAAGCUGUGAGAAGGGGAGAGAGCCAUUGUUGAAGCAGCCAUAUGAGAAAAUGAAAGUGUUUACGAGUGUGUAGAGGGCCGAGUGAUUGUUAUGUUUUGCAUAGAGAAGCAUGGUGGGUAUUUGUAUAGGUUUGAUGCUAGAAAGUCGUUAUCUUUCUGCUAUCUUCAUCCCUUUUCUCACUGGUGAAAUGAAGUUCAAAGAGUUUCAAUCCUUUGAUCAAUUCCAGUUGGCAUGAUAGGCUCCAGUUAUUUAGUUCCACAAAGAUAGCAAUUGGAAAAUAGUUAUGCUUUGAUUUCUGACCAAGUAGAAUUAGCCCUACGAACAUGGCCGUCUUUUUGCAAUAAUGAUCAUAAUGACUCGAUUUCCAGUUGGUUUGAUAUGCACCACCAGCAUAACGUACGUAUAGAUACCAUAGAACAUCAAAGGAGAAAGAAUAAUGAAUUUUUCGACUAGAAAUGAGGAUGUUAAAACUAGACACAUGAUUACAAAAAUCUGAAAUAACAUUAAGAAUCUCUAUAAUUAAGGAUACAUUCAACUAAACAUAAAUUAGAAACAAAAUAUUACUCUAACGACGACUCAUUUGGCAUAUGUAAACCUUCAGACCAAUGUUCUAAAAAAUGCUAGGCGCUAGUCGGGCGGUAGAGGUGAAAUUUUGAAACCAAAAACCGAAAAAAAACCGAGCCGAAAACCAAACCGAAACUGGAAAAAACCAAACCUAAUUAAGAAAAACCGAACCGAACCAAAUUAGUUUGGUUUGGUUUUUGGUUUCGGCCCUUGAAAAACCGAACCGAACUGAAAAACUGAAUAUCCCUAAAACGACGUCGUUUUUUGUCUUUAUUUUCAUAUUAAAUAUUUGAUUUGAACAAUAUGAUUUUUAGGUUUUAUGUUCUAUAUAAUUAUCUGUUUGUCUUUUCUAAUAUUUUGCUUUUUAUUUUCAUUUUAUGUACAUAUAGAAAUGUUUUAGGUGUCGUGUAUGCAAAGUAUAGAGAGUGAUAUGUUACCUCUAAAAUCGAAGACCUUAUUAUUGCGAGCUUUAGAUGACAAAUUCUAAUAUUUAAUUUAUUUUUCUCUUCUUUAUUCAAAUUUAUGAUUUUUAAAAUUUAAAAUUCGGAAUUUAUUUGGAUGAACUUUAAACUAUGGAGUCUAUAUGUUGUGUUCAAGAUGAACUUACAAGUUUUAAAAUUAUGGUUUCAUGGUGUGCUAGUGUGGUCAAUUCUCAAUACUUUCGAAAUUAUUGAGUAUUAAACUUUCAAAGUAUCUAUUUGGUUUAUAAAUUGUUGGUUUGUUGAAGAAAUCAUUGUCAAAAAUUUUAUUGAUAUAUUAUAUAUGCUUAUAAAAAAAAACUAGUAAUGGAAGAAAAAAAAGACCUAAAAUACGAUAAUUUUUUACCAAGGCAAAAGCAUACAAAUUUUAAGAAAAAUUAUUUUAAAAAAGAAGAAAAACAAAAAAAAAACUGAACCAAACCACGGUUUGGUUUGGUUUCCGGUUCAAGGUCUCAAAAAAUACCAAACCAAACUGAAUUUUUUAUUCGGUUUGGUUUCAGGUUUUAUGUGAAAACCAAACUCACCCCUAUCGGGCGGACAGCCGGUGACUAGCGCUUAAACGGGUCAAUCGGGAGAUUAAUCAGUUUUCUAACUCUCUAGACGGAAACAGUGAAGCACCGCCUAACACGUAGGCGUGGAUUAAUCGGCUAUAAGCGGAGAUUUUUAAACCAUUGCUUGAGACAACAACUAGUCCUUAAAACUUGUAUGACGAAAUUGACUGUGGCUCAAAUUAUAAGGAGCUACAUUUAGAAUAUCUGCUGCUAUGGGGCAAGUAAGCAAAACAUGGGAAGUAUCUUCAUAAGGACAUGGGCAUGAUAUGCAUCAAGUAUCACCUGUAUAACCCUUUGUAGUAAGUGCACGUACCUCUCAUUGGCAGUCGGUUAAAGCAAGCUUUCCAGAAGCAAAUACGCACCUCCUCGGUACUUUUGUUUUCCACAAUCGUUUCUGCUAUAAGCCGUUUUUAUGGUCAUGUCUUUUUUUUUUUUUUUUUUUUUCUGUUUUAGGUAGAACAAAAUUUUCUUGCCUUGCUUUUUUUUUUCAAUAUGAUAUUUGUUUGCUCAAUACCAUUUUGGUCUAGUGACAUAAGUCUCUCCUUGUAAAUGAGAAGUCGUGAGUUCGACUCAUAGUAUUGUAGCAUAUUAUUGUGCGUUUGAUCCAAAAAUAAAAUAUGAUCUUUAUUUGGGAUCAUAGCGUUUUUUUGCUUUUUGCUUCAAUAUGCAUGUGGACAUUUUAUGUACUUAUAGGCUCAAUUAUGGUGUGAGCUGAAAUAUGUAGUAGGAGUGUUACCUGUACGUGGAUUAUUUGAUCUUAUUUACCCUCUUUACACAAGACAAUGCAUUGAUUCAUGAUGUAUCAUUUAUUUGAAUGGAUUGGAAUAUCUUCUUUAAUUCAAAAAUUAAUUAAAGAUCUCUUUCCUUAAGAUUGUGAGCAAACUUUUGCAUUUAUACAUAAUUAAUGGCCACUAUGAGCAAGUAAUAUUUAUUUUCAUUACCUAUUAAAGUUCAUUCAUCGCUAUAUAAGCAUGGAUGUAGCAAGAAAACUCCUAUAGUUUAUUCUAAGCCUGAGCCAGAGAUAAAAUGAUGAGAAAAGCAUUGUGGCAGCUCUACUGUUUUCUGCUUUUCCUUGUCCUAGCGCAUUGCAUUCUCCAUUGUGGCAGCCACCCUGUUUGGGGAAGAAAGUAUUUCGUCCGUAUUGUUAACAAUCUCGAAAACAACGAAGUGCUUAACUUUCAAUGUAAAUCCCUAGAUGAUGUAAUUGGUCCGCGUACUCUUCCUCCAUUUGGUGAAUUUGAAUUUAAAUUUCACUUCGGCCCUGAUACAGUGUUUGAAUGCUCUACGUGGUACUCAAAUCGCAUGGCUAAUUUUACAGCAUGGGAACCAAUUGUUCAACCUUUAUGAGGCGGGGCGCAUUUAAUUUAACUAUAUACUAAAGUAUGGUUUACUGUUCAUAAUCACUGUUCACAUCACAUGAAUAGUGCACUGUUUGGUGGGUGUGAUUCUGUUUAUGCCCUCUGUUUCUAAAAAACCACGAAAUUACCAUUAACCCUAGAUAUAUGAUUGUCUUCUAUAUAAUUAGUUGUUGUUGAGGAUGUUGUGGGUUGGGAAGUAAUUUUUGAACUCUUAUCUUCAUUACCGUGUCUCAAUUUUUUUUUUUUUCAUAGAUCUCACAAAGGGUAUUGUUAUCGAAGUCAAUCUAAAAUAGGGUAGUGGUAUCAUAGACCAAGGUUGAGCAAGUUUAUUUUCUUAAUUAUUGAGGUGAAACAAUUUUGGUUCUAUUUUAGCAACGGAAUAUUAAUUGAAGUACAAAUAUCUUUGAUUUGGCCAAAGAAAUUAUCUGGUUGCAAACCAACUCCUAAUUAACAAAACGUACUAAGUUAAUUUAAAUAUCGUGUGAUGAAGUACUAUGUUAUAUAUACUAAUGCAAUAUAUUUGGUUUUUGUUUUGUUUACUUUUAAUUUACUUGGUUUCUCAUCUUUGGUUUUAGUUUUGUUUACUUUCAAUUGAGUUGGUUCCUCAUUUUUUGUUUGGUUUUUAUGUCAAGUUCUCAUCUUUGACAUUUUGAGAUCAGUCUCUUUAGGAGCUUGAGAUAAAUAUUCUUUUCAGUUAAUUAAUCACUUGCUUUGUGUGUGUGUGUGUGUGUGUGUUUUGUUUUUUUUUUUUCUUUACUNUAGUAUNAUAUANCUUUAUUAGUUAGUUUUUAGUUUUUUUUUUUUUUUUUUUUCCUAUCUUUAGUUUCCUAUAAAUCAAGUUUUCUAAAAAUUGCGUUUUUGGUGAAAAACAGUUAAACAAAUAUGAGCAUUUUGUAUAGUCAAAACUAGAGCUAUAUUUUCGAUCAUACUGCUUCAGAUAAGUUGUUCUAUUUUGUGCACUUACAAGACAUUUACUAUUUUGGAUAGGUUACAACACUAGAUGUUUUGUAUUGAAGUUCUAUGAAGUACAUAUCAAAAACUUUUUCAUCAAUCAACUGAAUCAUUAACCAGUUUUAUAAAUAUACACCGCGCCAAGGCGCGGGUAUCAACUCUAGUUGUAUAUACAGUGUGUGAUCUGCUACUGUGUUCAGGUACAACAUAGCAACUCGACGAUAUGUAGGAGUCAUUAAUUUUUGGACUGUAGUACCAUGAAAAUGUUUGGGACAAAUGUAGUUUCAAACAAGAAAUAUUUAUAAGCUACAAGUAUGUUUUUUUAUUUUUUAUUUUUUUUAUAUAUGAAUAAAGGGCUGGUGCGGCUGUUUUCAAGCCUUCAUUAAUGAAACUGUCGAAUACAAGAGGGGCAUAUAUAAAGCCUAAACCCCUGAUUACAAAGACCCAAAAUAAUAUCGAGAAUCUCUAUAAAAUACAUGUAUUCUGAUAAACACCAACUAGCAAAUAGUACUACCCUAAAGACGAAUAUAUUUGCUUUGUCAUAUCGGUGACAUAAUGGAAAGAUCACUAGAUAUGUAACACGAUUACUUAUCCUAAUGUCUGAUAAAGAAUAGUACACAAGAAGUUAAUUAGCAAAGAAUAUUAGAAUACUUAUAUAUACACCAAGUUCUAAUACCAAACGUGAUCGAUCCAAUUUUUUUAUUUUUUUGAUGAAAGGGAUUGUAGUAAUCAAACUGGGCACAAAUUAUCUACCCAAACUACAGGAUUUGGAGCUGCAUAUGUUGUACUAGCCAAUCUGUGCGCCACUGUAUUGCAAGUUCUACUACCCAUGAGAGAGAGUCAUGGAUGUCACAAAGUAACCCUUCCAGCCCUACAUAGGUACCUUGCGUAUAGGAGAUAACCAAAAUUGCCUCUAGACAAUCUGUUUCUAUGAUAGCACAUACACAAUGUUUUCAAAAGUUUUAGUCCUUCUUUGAUAGCAUAUACCUCCGCCUUCUUUGCAGAGACUACUGGGGCAAUAGGAAUGACCAAAGCUGCCUUGAAUUUUCCUUGAUUAUCCCUGAGUAUCCCUCAAGUGCCUCCACGAAGAAAUGUUGGAAGAAAGCUACCAUCCACCAUGAGUUUGGUUUCCAUUUCUUGUGUUGUAGUUGGGGAGUCUGCCUUACUGGAGGUUGUAUUUGAACUUGUUGGUUUUCAUUGAACUAGGCCAUUGCCCAUGCUUGUACUUCUUGUGCUGUUUGAUGCUUUUCAUUCCAUAGUAUAUUGUUUCUGUUAGGCCAAAGAGACCACAAGCUGAUGAGAAGUUUGGCAAAGAGCUCCUUUGGCAUAUGUAAACCUUGAGACAACAACCAGUCCUUAAAACUUGUACGAGGAAAUUGAAUGUGGCUCAAAUUAUAAGGAGCUGCAUUUAGAAUAUCUGCUGCUAUGGGGUAAGUAAGCAAAACAUGGGAAGUAUCUUCAUAAGGACAUGGGCAUGAUAUGCAUCAAGUAUCACCUGUAUAACCUUUUUUAGUAAGUGCACGUACUUCUCAUUGGCAGUCGGUUAGAGCAAGCUUUCCAGAUGCAAAUACGCACCUCCCCGAGUCCCCGUAAUUUUUGCUUUCCACAAUUGUUUCUACUAUGGGUCCGUUUUUUUUUUUUUUUUUUUUUCUUAGUUUCAGGUAGAACAAAAUUUUCUUGCCUCUUCACAAAAACAUUUCUUGCCUUGUUCGUUUUUUUUUUUUUUUUUUUCAAUAUGAUCUUUGUUUGUGAUCAUAGCGUUUUUUUGCUUUUUGCUUUAAUAUGCCUCUGGAUAUUUUAUGUACUUAUAGGCUCAAUUGCGAUGUGAGCUGAAAUGUGUAGUGGGAGUGUUACCUGUACGUGAAUCAUACACAAGACAGUGCAUCGAUUCAUGAUGUAUCCUUUCUAUUAAGAAAAACAUAAGGGUCUUAUGACUUCUACUUAGUUGCUGAUUCAUAGAAUUAUUACCACUCUUAGGCUCAGUUUAGGAUUGCAUUUUUGGGUUAAAUCCUGCUUUUUCUCACCCAUUUAUGACUGAUAGCCUGUUUGGUAAGCAUUUCAUAUCUGCGUUCUUUUAACGAUUGCGGCCGGAAACCGCAAAAAUGAAAAGCAGCGGAGGACCUGCUUUUUCUUAUCCAGCGUUUUGUGAACGUGAAUCAAAUAGCCUGUACAUUCAUGAAAUUCCAGAAACAUCCCCACUGAAAUUCAAAAGUCAAACCCCUCGGAAUUAAUUCUCGUUCUCUUCUUCUGGGUUUCUUUCGUUUUUUGCCUUCUUUUGCAGCUCCUCAUCCCCUUGCCUUCGUACCUCUCUCUUCACAGCUAUUCACUUCUUCUUUGAUGGAUUACUGUAUCAUAUUAUUUUAUAUAUAGAUCUGUAAUUGAUCGUAAGGUGAUCGAGGUUUCCAUCGAAUCGCAUACACUUCGUAAUUUGAUGAGAAGAACAAAAGAUCCAUAUGAGUCAAAAGAUCUGUAUCUAUUUUUGAAAUUCUUUGUUUUUGAUAUCAUGUUUACCAAACAUUGUAGCAGUACUUAUUUUUACCUCAACACUUUCAAAUAUAUGAUUUACCAAACAUUAUACCGAGAUUUUUUACAACAGAUUAUUUUUACAACAGAGUUAUUUUAAAGUAGAGUUUAUAUACCUCAAUAUCAAACUAGGCUUUAUUGGUGGACAUAUAACCAAAAUGACGGUUUCUGAUGUCCUAGAAAUGAAAAACAAAAAUUUGAAAGAGUGGCAUUAUUUUUUGAGCAAUUUAAUGACAUCACACAUUAUAACCUAUACUAAAGACCUAUCUCUAAUGUACCGUUCAUUUUAUUUGUCCUUAUUCUCUCGAUAAAUUUUUCAGUAUUUCCGAAAGACCAUGUGGCAUUGCCUGGUUAUCCAAGCCUAUGAGACGUUGACACGUGACACUUUUUAGACAACUCGCAUCAAGGUUAAUUCAUUUAGUUUUCAACUGCAGUAAAACAAACCCCUCAACUAUCGCCGUUAAGUGAUAGUGUGAUAAAAAAAUGUAAAUCUCUGAAUUUUGUUCGUCCUCUCGCCGUCUGCCUUUCUCUUUGUGUUCUUUUCAGCAGAAGCACAAGGAAGCUUGUGGGUUCAGUUAAGCCUUGUCGUCGCCCAUAAGAUCCACUUUGUCCAACAAUUGGGAUUUUCAGUUCCCCGUAGCUAUUACCCGAUCUCCUCCACGCGUCCCCAGGUUUCUUCUCUUCUCUUCUCAUUUCCCAAUUGUUUUUCUUGCUCUUUGGGUCUUGCUAGUUUUUGUUAAUUUUGGUUAGAGAGUUGAAUGAUUGUGAUCAGACUCACUUUUCGGAGAAGAAAAGAAAAUUGAAAAUGGGAGAACUGAGUUCAAAGAAAGAGAAUUUGGGAAACGAAAUCCGCACAAACCGACGGAGGUGAGUAUUCGACGAUUUUGGUUAGUUAUAUGGAAUUGAUGAAACUUCGACGGCUCUCCCUUCUUGAAUAUGUUGUUUAUGGGAUUUGAUUUCUACACCAAAGUGAGGAAAAUUCUAUUAAGCUAUCAUAUAUUCAUAUUGGCUAUGAUUGAAUGGUACAUGACCAUAAUAGCUUGAAUUCCAGUAAAAGCUUUGUGGAUUUGGGAUUUGAAGUUUGAGGUUUUAUUUUUAUUUUUUGGAUUUGAAUUUUGCAGUUUUUGAAAUUUUACAUGUUAGUUGAUGUUGUUAUCCUUUUCAUGUUAAAGUCCAAUGUAUGAUUUAGCAGGUUAGAUGAGAUAUUGGAUUUGCUGAACCUUCAGGUAGUUAGAAAAUAUGCCAAUGUCUCCAAUGGAGGGGUGCCAUUUAAUUAGAAAGUAAACAUCCCACAUUGUUAUCAGCCCUAGACCACCAUUUUACACAUUUCAGACCAACAAUUUGAUUGCUUGUUUUCUCUGCUAUGUACUCAAAUCUAUUACAGCUACUGGGAUAGCUGCAUCACCAAAACUAGUUCUUUGUGUAUCACAGCUUAUGACUCUAAUUGUUUUACCAUCAAGGUCACACAGAAUACUUGAUUUUGGAUUAGUCAUUUACUUAUCCAUUUUGUCAAAUAUGGGUUCUGCUGAGAAAUGCCAGGAUGGCAAGUAAUUAAGCAACAAUUUUUGGAUGAUCCUUCUGAAACAACUAUAUACAUAGCUGGUUUGCAGGCUGCAUGGAAGCUUGGUGCUGCAUUCAAAUUGGUUAUCAUUUGAUUAUGACACUGCGUCUAGUAUCUGCUAAGUUUAUUGGUCUUUAGGUUCAAAAGUUUCGUUUUAUCGAAACUCUUAUGAGUUUUAUUUGGUUUGCAUAUAGUUCUCUUUUGAAGCUUGUAUUAUAUCUAAAUAUUUCUCAUGUUCUCUUUUUAGAUCUACCCCAAAUCCUGUUUUUUCUUUUUUUGAAUUCUGGGUGCACAGGCAGUGAGAUUGUAGUUGUCAGUGACAAACUAAGGAUAAAUUGGAAGAGCUUUAAGGUAUCUCAAUCAGUGAUUUCCUGAAUUACUUCAUUUGGAAGAGCCUUAAGAUAACUUGGUUAUUCUGAUUCCUAUAUGAUGUCUGAUAAUGUGUGGACAUGGGUGCAGGUUGAACCGUAACAGAUGAGGAUUGGCAUAGUUGAGUUUGAGGAUGAUGUGGUACUUGACAGUGAGGGUGACGAAGUUAAUGGAAGGUGACUCAUACAAGUAUGUCUCUGGACAAAAAGUGCACUGCAGGUUUGUAUAUUUGCUUCUUCUUUUUUUUGUUGUAUUUUGGUUAAUUUUUUGAUAGCAGUUGGCGUUGAACGUGUUGAUGAUAUGAAGUUUUUUUUCUUAAUGAAUGCUUGAGGAAGUAAUCUCUGCAAGACUUUGCAUUUACUAAUUUGAAUGACAAGUUUCUUGAAAUAAUUUUCAUACUACGGAGGAGUAAAGGCCGAAAUAUUUGUGCUGCUUGCAGAAUUUAGCUACAUCGACUCCCAUGAUCUUGGUUGGUCGCAUUACUGUAAGAGAAAGACAUUAGAUAAAUGGCUUUCAAACAUAUAUAUGAAGAUAGCUAGCAUCUAGGAUAAUAACAGGGUUUCAAAACUUUUCAAAUAUCGAUAAAAAACUGUGUGCUUGGUCAUAGUUAAGAUCAACUCAGUUAAAAUUGCAUAUGUGAAUGUGUAAAAUUCAAUCUUUGUGCAUAUACCAUAGGGACCAUUAGCACUCAAUAUUCAAUGAUAUAACUCAAAACAUGCAUCUCUCACAAGAAGUAAUGUUUUCAGCCAUUAACGUAAAACCUGAAGAGGAUAGAACUAUUAUGUUUCGAGUCACUUUCGUUUAACCAAAAACUAAUUAGGUCUCAUAGCUAGAAUACCAGCAUGAUGAAGAUGCCAAGGUGCAUUUGAGCAGCAGAGCAGUGAACUCCAGAUGCAAUGAACACCCAAAGUGAUAAUUGUAGAAAUAUAAUCCAUGUUACUUGAAGCAUUUUUCUCCUUAUGUGCAUAAACUAAAUGUCUAUUUAAAAGAGCUCUUACUUUGCUUUAUUGAAGGAUAUAGAUUGUGUCUCAUGUAUAUCGAUCUUUUUUUUUCUUCAUCACAUUGCUUAAUGAGCAUGCACCUUUGUUGUAUAGUCCAAUGGACUAAUUACAUUUUAUUUUUAGUUACAUUCAUGAAAUAUGUAGGAACCUCUAUGCAAUACUCUGAACAAGAAACAUGACAAGAAGUAUGUUCCAAUUUUAUAUGCUAAUUUUAUUGUUCCUUAUGUGGGAUAGAUGGGGUUGGAAGAAUUGUUGGACUGCUAAUCGAUCAGAGGAAGGCCCCAUCAAAGUGGAUGUCUAACCUGUUACUAGAGCUCUUUAAUUUGAUGAUGUAAACUCAGGUUGUCUGAGAGGGAUUUCCCCUUAGUGUUUGUUUGUUUCGUAUCAAAAAAAAGAGUGAAUGUCUAACGCGGACCAAACAAAAGUGGAGGUGUCAUCAUGCAUCUGGGAAUCAUACACCUGCUAAAUUUAUGCUUCGAAUUUCCAGUAUUUUUCCGUGUCUCAACAAUUGUAAAGUUCAUUCGUAUCAAAAAAACAAUUUGUAAAGUUCAUUCUUCAUAGAGUUGUGAGCAGCAUAUUGUAUCAUGAGGAAUUGAUGGGCUCGGAUGCAUAAUGAUUUACGUUUGCAGGAGCCAGGAGAGUUUGGUAUGCCGUUGGAACUUGGAAACCAUGUAGGUAACCAGUUUUGUUGGACAAAGAGGAUGACAAACUCUUAUUUGAAAUGGAAAGCUUUGGUAAACUAUUCAAACCAUGAGAUAUCAAUGUAGCACAAGACUCAUUUAUAUAUCCGACUUUGCCGUGUGUAGUUUGUAUAUAGAUUAUAUCCUUGCUAUGAGGAAAAAAAAAUAUAUAUCCGGCGUAAUUGGGAUAGAAAACGAUCCCCGCGCGGGAAUACCAGCUAGUACAUGGACUAAUCCUUAUAUGAACAAUUUCUAUUCGGAAAUCUAUUACAUGUAAAGCUUCAGACAUGGCAUAAUUCUAGUAACCGAAGAAGUGGCGUCUUAUAUUUAUCUGAAGCUCGUCAGGCAAAUUUUCCAAAAUACGUUCUUCAUUUACAUCCGUGGCAGAAUAUUGUUCGGCAUUUCUCACUUGCCUUCUAAACUCUUCAGGCAAGUUUCUGUACCUCAUCCACGCCUCAACAUCACGCCUCCUCAUCAACAUAUCAGACCUCCUAAAAAACCAAAAGAAUGAGAAAGGCUGAGAUGUAUAUAGAUUCUUACUAUCAGUAACCUCUUUCUCUAACAAAAAAAACUCUAGAAGAAAGAAAGUGGUAAUAAAGUCACGAUCAAACAAUAAAAAUGUGGUCAGCAUAUAGAUUCUUACUUUCAGUAACCCCUUUCUCUCAAUUAAAAAAAAAACUCUAGAAGAAAGAGAAUGGUAAUAAAGUCAAGAUCAAACAAUAAGAGUUAAGAAACAGAUUGGACAAAAAAAAAUAAAAAUAAAAAUUAAGUACCUUUGUCCAAGAGACUGGAGAAAAUUUUGCAUGUUUCCGAUCAGAAGAGCAAGGAGGAAGAGUCCCAGUCCAAUAAUUACCAUCGUAAAGAUAAUUUCACCAUUGUUAUAGCUUGGAGUUAGAUUUCCUCCCAAAGUGCUGAUUUGCUUAAUAAAUCACAGGAGAUAAUAUGUCAGCAUAAAGGUGUAACUUAUUUAUGAAAUCAUAAUAAAAUAAAGGGAAGUUAUCAGCAAUUAGAAUGUAAGGUACCUGAAACCCCCAAAACAAUGAGUAUAGAUAUUUAGUAAUGAUAUGUCCCGUAGUGAUAUUGAUAAUUGGCGCAUAGAUUCCAUAUGAGAAGUCUCCAUUGGGACUAAAACAAAGAGCAGCCUUCUCAUUUAGUCUCCGUUUAGUAAUUAACUCAUCCAGGGAAAGAUAACGAGCAUGCCAACAAUCUAUUAAGUUCGGGCAUGACUGCAUAUUAGAAUUGUGGCAGGCGUCUUGAAGACAUUGGUUAACCCUCUGGAACAAGAAAAAAAAUACAAAUGUUCUCAGUGGCAUAGCCAGAAACUAUCACUAGAAGGGUCAAAAUUUAAACAAUAAUACUAUUGCCUGUUAAAAAAAAUUAAAAAAUUAAAAAACUAUUGAAUGACAUAAAAAUGUAUGAAUUAUUACAUCAAUAAUUAAAAAGGACAAAAAGUAGGUUUUCCUAAAGCAAUUAUAAUUGUUCACGACAAUUACUCAUAUUUUGAAAUAUUUUCAUGAUGGUUUCACCGUCAAAUAUAUCUUUCUCAAUAUAUGUAAUCAUGAACAUGUCUCCCAUUCGGUUUCGCAAAUCACUUAUAUAACCGUCAUGGCAAAAAAUGCUCUUUCUACAGUGACAAUUGCAACUGGAAGAAUCAGUGUCAAUGUUAUGAGCAAGUAAACUAACGGAUCAACCUGGUUUUUCUGUUUCAACAAUUUUUUCUCGAAGCUCACUAAUUUCUUUCAUUUUUUUCCAAAGUACAUUCAUUGGAUCUAUCUCUAUUCUGAAGUACAGCGACAAUUGCAACUGGAAGAAUCAGUGUCAAUGUUAUGAGCAAGUAAACUAACGGAUAAACUUGGUUUUUCUGUUUCAACCAUUUUUUCUCGAAGCUCACUAAUUUCGGUCAUUUUUUUCCGAAGUACCUUCAUUGGAUCUAUUUCUUAUUUGAAUAGCUUGAGAUGCUGUCAACUGAUCCGUUGCUUUCUUUACAAUAUUUUUGAGAAAAUUUUCAUAAUUUCAAAUNNNNNNNNNNNNNNNNNNNNUUCAUAAUUUCAAAUAUUAAUUCUAAAGGUUUUGACUUGUUGUUUGUAGGGAGAAAUGUUUAAAGAACAAAAAAAGGAAUUACAGUUGAGAAGAAUUUAAAGAGCAUGAUAAGAGACAAAUAAAUUGUAGAAGCUUGAAUUUAUAUAGACGCAAGGUAAAUCAUGAAUCGAUUAGGAAGACAAAAAUGAAUAAUAAAUCUGUCCAAAUAUGAGAUGAAAGCAAACUUCUUUCCGAAAACUAUUUUCUUACUCCUAUAUUGAUUAGUAAAAAACAUGGGGUUAGAACUUAAAAGCUUUUCUGUCGACAAGGGUGGAGUAGUCUUGUCCAAACCAAGACAAGAUUUGGAAGGAGAUUACAAAUAUUUAAGACAAGUCUUGUCCAUAAGGGUCAAAUCUUGUUUCAAAGUGUAAUAUAUAUAUAUGUUGCCCCAACCAAUAGAAAGUUAGCUUAAAAUGUUAGAGGGUUCAAUUGAACCCUCUCGCCCCAUUGUGCCUACGCCCCUGAAUGUUCUAUUAAUUUGUUUUGACUUUAUCAUAAUUAAUUGCAUCAUAAAUUUCUUGUGAUUAUUGACUUUGGUAUAUAUUUAUAUAUUAUACUCAUUAGGUUUUUUUUUUUUUGAUCAAAUGCUCAUUAGGUAUUUAGUAAAAAUUCUGAUAUUUCUUUAAAAUAAAAAUAAAAAUUCCAAUAAAUAUGAAACAAAUAAAAAGAUAUACAAUUUAAAGACGACGUAAACCUUGUUAGUUGACUCAUAUUUAAAUUAUGGCAAUUUGUGUAAUUCUUUUGAAAAAAAAAAAAAAGAAAUCUAAUAUUUGAUCCUAGUUGGCAAUAAUUGGGUGUAAUUUAAAACAAUUUUAUGAGUGAGUUUAAUAUAAAAUGUGAUUUGAAUAUUAAGUGUAAAAUGAAAUGCCUCAUCAAACAAAUACGGGGAAAUAUGCAUCAUUAGGUUAGAUAAAAUGAAAUCUCCACACACCUGUAAGCCAAAGAGGUACCACCAUGACCCAAUGACAUGGGCAACCAGCAAAAAACUGAGUGUGUUUACAAUGAAAUUCGUCCAAAUUGACCCGAAUACAAAGAAUCCAUUCAAUGAUCGACCAGCAAGAAGGGACAAAACCCUAUACACCCUAGGAAAGUAUUGAAGAAAUAUUGCCAGGUGUAGAAGAUUCUUGGUCUCAUUUGUUCGUAGAGAAAAUCUUCCGUGCAACAGCCGCACCAGCUGACAUGUGCGACCAGCCGACCAACAAGUGCCUUGAUUUUUUCCACGCCAGCAAACUACGAAAAAGGCUCCAAGUUUAAAGUUGAAAUUUCAUUAUCCCGCCGGAAGCCAGAGUUAUAUUUAAAUUAGGAUUUCUAGGUGGUUAUUCUAAUCCAGGGAAGAACAAACGCCUCACUUUUCAGAUUACGGUCUCCUCAUUCCUCCCACUCACUUUUCUCCCACCGAUACUGAUAAUUCAUCAUCUCAUUUCCUACCGUUUCCAAAUUCAUGAACACAGAUCUUUCUAGACCCGAUUCAUGAACAUAGAUCAUGCUCGACCCGAUUCACGAACAGAGAUCUUUCUCAACCCGUUUAGUUCAUUCUCAUCGGUCAGGUAUUAUCUUUCUAUGCUGAAAUUAUGUGGCACCUCUUAUCUUCAAUCUUUUAUUCUUUGUGAGUGUAUCGUGUGGAUGGGAUGGACUGGAGAGAUAGAUAAUAGUUGAAAAGAAGACCAUGGGGAUGAGUUGGUUUUAGUCUCCAAAUUGAGGUUUAGGAGGUGGGUCAUUUUCUUGGAAUUCCAAUUUUUUGAGGUUUGGGAGGUGGUUUUUUUUGGGUUUCAAUCUGGACAUCUUACAUGCUUUGCCAUGGAAAUAGUACAUGCUUUGUUGUAUAUAGGAAUGAAUGAUGUGAACCCACCUGGAUUACUAGUCUGAUAGUCUCCGUUUGCAUAGACUUUUCUUAAUUCAAUUUUAGAUGCACACAGUUCUUUUUCCUGGAGCUUGCUUUCAGGUACUUGGAUAUUUCACACUUUCUCUAUGUUGGUCUUUUCCCUUUCAUGUAUUUUUCAGUUUGUUAGUUAUAGGAAGUGAUCAAGCACAUUCUUUGUCAUGGCUAUUUGGGAGGUUAACAGUGUCUCACUGUCUCUAUUCUCUAAAUUAGUUAAAGAUGCUUUUUGUUCAGAGCUUUUUAUUGUGUCUUUAAUUAGACAAAGAUAGUUUCUUUAUAGCAGUAGUGAACAAGGGUUUAAAGUAGAUGAUUUUCUUUUGAGUUUAUUGUUUUGUGCGUGUGUUGCAGUGUUAGAUAUUAGUAGAUAAGCUAAAGGUGAUGACGGAUCAGCCAAAAGCCAAGAGGUACAAAAAUCUCUGCUCACGGUUUACAACUAAUAAUACUCCAUCAAGUGAUAGUGACGAUGAGAUUGAGAUAGGGAGUGGGAGUAGAAAUGUGACUGUGGAUUGGCAUUGUUGACAGUUUUGGUACUCUAUGUGCGUGCAUACAAGGAAUGAAAGCAUUUCGAAGAGAUUGCCGAAGCUACAGAAUUCAAGAGAAUCACUUUAUAUUGUAUCAAUCUAUUAGCUCCGAUCGAUUAGUACUUUAUUAUGAUACAUUGUGGUGUAAUUUUGACACAAGUAAUUUUUCAUUGUGUUAAAUUUAGUUGUUACAAUUAUAAUCAAUCAAAACCUUCAUUUGACAUCUCUUUUUCAUUGUCUUCCAUUUUGUUUCAGUAGAAUGUACCUUGAGUAACAUUAUCAUAUCUUGAUCAGAGGCUUGGUUUCAUCUCUGGAUUUUGUUGCAUUAUUACCUUUUGGUUUGUGUCAAAGAUUAAAGAUAUGGUUAAAAAUUGAGAAAGAAAAAAGCUGAUGGAAAGAUACUUGAAUUUGUGAUGCUUAAACUACUAAGAUAUACUCAAUGAUCGAAUGUAAUCAUCAUAAAAAAAUAUUGUAGCACAGGUUACAUACAAAAGUUCGAUCAAAACAAGCUCUAAACAUGUCUUCGAUUCAGUUCUUAUAAAAUGCUCAUGUUAGUACUACAUCAUGAAACUUGCACACAUGACUUCAGUUCUCAUAAAAUGGUCCUCUUAAUACUGCAUCAAUGAAACCUGCACAAUUUAACUUCUGUAACUAUACUGUAAUUCAGGUUCAAUAUCAUCAACUCAAGCAUAUAAUAUUAAAAUACAGAACUAACCUCACUGAGGUUGUUGUCUAAGUGUAGGAUCAAUAGUCAAAGUCGCAGUUGGUGCAAGAUUCAACCCUGUAGUAUUCUACAAAUAUAGAACUAGUUUAUUUUCAAUAUAGCCAACUAAAAUGUAUGAAUGUACUAAGAUUUCAAAUAUACAUAUACCUGGUUUGAGAAAGGCAUCUGACCAUAACUAACAUGUGAAUGAGGAUGCUCAAAAGGCCAACUUAAAUUUCCCUGAAAGAGAAUGACAUGUAUGAAUAUGUUCAGUCUGUAAUACAUAAAGAAACAUACAUAUAAAGCUUCAAAAUGCAGACCUGAUUACUGAAUGUUGGGGUGUUGGGUACUCCAAACUGAUUACUCACUGUUGGGAUGUUAGGUACUCCAUACUGAUUACAGAAUGUUGGGAUGUUAGGUACUACAAACCGAUGAUUAUUGAAUGUAGACACAUCAGUUGGAGCUUUUGGAUCAUUAUUUUCUUGGUUUUCUUGUUCUGCAUCAGUAAAAAUUUCAGCUAUACAAAGUACACAAAACAAGAACUAUCAAUAUAAGCUUAUUUAAGAACUAUAUAAAAUAUGUAUGUACCUUUUGUUCUCUUCUUCCUUUGAUUUGUCUCCAUCACAUCUUUGAUUCUACUAUUUUUCAUUCCCUUAGUCUUUGCAUUUGGUGGGUUCAAAACUAGUGUCUCAUUACUAGAAAUGGUAGAGCCAGACUCAGCACCAAAAUUCUUCAGAUUUUCCAACACGUAAAGGGUGUCCUUGUCUUUUUCAAGACGCUUCAUUGCCUCUGUUAACAAAUGCUUGACAAUUUUAGUACCUAAACUAGUUAAUGAGGCUAUGUCAUACACAUUAUUUCCUUCAUGCAUCAAUUCGCUGAGGCGCAACACUCUAGCAGUCUUUAAAUUCUCACUUGUUCCUACACUUGUGUCACUGCUGACCACUACCGUACCCCUUUCUUUGCCUCUUUAGUCCACCUCUUCAAUAUAUACUGAGUUGGUAAAGUUGUGAUAUUAUUUGUAUCAAACACCUUCAAAGCAUGACGACACAAGAUCCCAACAGACUUAAAUGACUUACAAGAACAAGAUAUGCUCAAGGAUGUAGAGUUGUAUUCAAUCUUGUGCACACUUUCACGACCAUCUUCAAUUGCUUCAUAUACAUAAACUUGAUCUUUACUGGAAACUUCUUUUAGUCUAACUCCCAUACAACUAUAGAAUUCUGUUUCAAAAAACUGAAAAAUUUUGUUAGUAUAAACCUUGGCAGCACUGCUUAACAUCUUAGUCCAUACUUUUGGACGACGUGCACCAUUUUUGCUACGGUAGUCAUCUUCUAACUCUGUUAAACGCAACUCUUCAAUCUUUUUCUUAUAGUGAUGAACAAAUUUAAUAAGCUCCAUUGUGUGUGUAGAAAUUCCUUGGAACACAUUGUUUGUACUUUCACUCCUUUGAGUAGAUCUAAUCCUUGCCGAAAAAGUGUCCAAAUUAAAUGCUGCACACCACUUCUGUCGGAGUGAAUACAACUUUGCUAGCCAAGGAUUAUUUCCGAGAUUAUAUCUACCAAUCAAGUUAUCCCAUAAAACCUGAAAUUCAAUUUCAGAACAGCACCCAUGUAAACAAUGGUUGAAUUGCUUCUUGAACUCUGGAUUUCCAAGAUAACUACCAAUUUUCUUUCGGCAUUCUUGCCAAUAUGCCAAGUGCACAAUCAAUGGGAUGCACCUGGAAACACUAUUUUAACUGCCUUUGCCAUUGCUUUAUCUUCAUUUGUGAAAAUAGUUUUUGGUGCUUUAUUUCCCAUCGACUCCAAAAAGGAUUCGAACAACCAAACAAAAGACUCUGUAGUCUCAUCUAAUAGAAAUGCACAUCCAAACACAACAUUUCUCCAAUGAUGAUUAACUCCAACUAUUGGAGCACAAAUCAGAUCAUACUUGUUUGUACGAAAUGUUGUAUCAAAGCAUAUAACAUCACCAAAACAAUCAUAAUCUGACUUUGCUCUACCAUCCCUCCAAAAGAAGUUUAUCAUUCAGCUAUAUUGGUCCAAUUGCAUUGAAUAGAAAAAGUUAGGGUCCUCACCUUGUUUGUGCUUAAAGUGAUUCAGCAAGCUUUGUGCAUCACCUGCUUCCACCAUUUCAUUCUUUUUUCUUUGCAAGUAGUUGUAGACGUCUUUCUUAGUGCACCCAACAUUUUCUGAACCACCCACUUCAUUUGCUAUGUAAAAAAAUGCUUUUGUUGCUCCUAUUCUUGCAACUUUCAUGGAAGUAAAAACUUGUCCACAAGCAUCUGUUACUUUUCGCCCAGAUCUCAAAAAUUGCCUUUCUUCAGGGUUUGCAAGCUCAUGGUUAUGAUCUGAAUUGAUAUGUGAUAUUGUCCAUAUCCCAUCUUUCACAAUAAACGAUAUCAUAGCCUUGCAACCGACUCUUGUUUCCAACUUCCUAUGUUUGGUUGGUUCAAACACAUCUUGGUCUUGUGCAAACCCUUCCUUUGAACAUACAAACUCUCGUAACCGGAUGUUAUUUGAUGCAUCUCUUCUAAUAUGUGACUUACGAACACUGAAACCCUUCCUCAAAGCAUAGGUAUUAUAUAAAUUGUAAGCCUCCUCAUCUGAGUGUACUUGAGUUCCCACUUUGAGUUCUUCAUCGUCUUCAAUUAUUUCCUCCAUUCUUUCACAAGCCAAUUUAACUCUGUAAAACACAAAAAAGUUUAAGCAAAUUUUUGGUCAAUUGCAUAGGACUUUCAAGUAUCAAUGAUCAUUAGUUAAUGAGAAAAUCUAUUAGAUUAGAAAAACCAAUCGUACAAACACCAAAUCACACAGUGAUUGAAUAAUCAAAAUCUAAAGGAUCAGUUUAAGUAUCAGUUUAUAUACAACCACUUUUAAGUAUUGGUUUAUAUACAACGUCUUCAUUACUCAUCAAUUCUUUGUGUCAAGUUCACACAGAGGAUCAUGACAAAUCCAAAACAAUCGAACCCAAAUACUCAUAAGAAAAGCAAAGAAAUACUAACCUGAAUCAAAUUGCUUAUCGAGAUGAUCUUGUAUUGAUUAAAUUGAGCAAUCAUGAGAACGAGCUAACAGGUCGAGAAAGACUGGUUUUGGUGAAUCUGAAAAUUGAUUAUCAGUAAUGAGGAGACCCUAAUCUGAAAAUUGAGUGAGAGGAACAAGAAGUCGUCCACUGUUUGUUCUUCCCCAGAUUAGAAAAACACCUAGAAAUCCUAAUUUAGCUAAAACUCGGCGGGAUAAUGAAAUUUCAACUUUAAACUUGGAGCCUUUUUCGUAGUUUGCUGGCGUGGAAAAAAAUCAAGACGUAGCACUUGUUGGUUGGCUGGUCGCACAUGCCAGCUGGUGCGGCUGUUGCACGGAAGAUUUUCUCUUGUUUGUAACGAUCGCCGAACAAUCGACAACACUAUUAUCUGAACAAGAAUUUAAACCAAAAACAAGAAUAAAUCAAAUCUAAAAACCCGUCAUAUGGGGUAUCUGUAGAAAAAAAAAAAAUUAAUGACAUACUUGUAAUAAAAACAGUUAUGACUUGUAAUCUUAGUCUAUAAAGUUGGACGCACCGACUUGUAAUUGACAUUUGUAGAAUGAUCAUAUUUAAACAAUUACACAUAAGCAUAUCAAACCAAUUCAAAGUGGACAUGAGAGAAAGAGCUUACCUGAGGAACCGGUAAUACAAUUAUUAGGUCGAUUAAAAAGUUUCCAUGGAGAUAAUUUAGAGCGAUUUUUUUUGGUUGGUCUACUAUUUCUCCUGGACCAACCAUUCUAGACCUAGGAACUUCAUAAGCCAGCCUAAACUGCCAUGCAUAAGCAAUAAAAAUUUAGAAAGGCUCAAACAGACAAGAAAAAGAAAAAAACAACAAUUUAUUUAAGAUACCAAUUGAAUAAUACAGAUUUAGAAUGACAUUUUUAAACAGAAUAUGUCAUGCACUUACUUGGAUAAGCAUGUGUAACAGAUAUAUAGUCUGUCACAGUCCGUAAAAACACCAGUAGUAUGGUUUUAUGCCAGUCCAUAAAUAUGCACUUCUGAUCCUGCAUUUUAAGAAUACAGAUACCCCUCUAUUAAAAAAAGAAUAGAACGGGAAACAAAUUUACAUACUAAAGCAAUUUUCGAACGGCUGUUAUUUUUUCUUUUUCUUUUUAAUAAGAAGAAGAAAUUUCUGCUUCAAGAAUAAUGCAGUCUCAAAAUUUAAUGCAAACAUAUUUUAAAGUGAUGACAUCAAGUGAGAGAAAAACAAAGAUAUAGAAAGAGAGAAAGAAAAAAUAGAUUGUUCCGCGCUCGCAGAGGCCGCCGGAAUGGUAGCUUCUAGCAGAGGCAACCGGAAUCAAUAGGAGGAUCGGAUACCGUUGUGGGUUUUCGGGUCAAGGAACAAGGCCGAUUAGUUUGAGUUUUUCUACACCUUGUGAUAUCUCGAUAUUUCUAUUUCAAAUAAGGAAGAUUGAGAGAGAAAAUCGAGGGUUCAAGGAGGAGAGCAGAGAGCAUAUUGGGGAAGAAGAAGAUGAGAUGAUGAGGAAGAUGGAGAUCACGCGCCGUGAAAAGAAACGUUUGUGAUCCCUCACUGGGUCAACUGAAGAACCUUCGGCCGAAUAGCUGUUUCUUCUUCAACACCCUAUUUCAAUCGAAUUUGGUCGGCGCCUUUGCAGAUUUACACUCUAACACAGUGGAUUUGAGUUUUUUUGGCACCAAAUUUUGUUAGCGCGUAUAGUACAUGCGCCGUUUAGGAAAGAAGAAGACGCAUCAGAAGAUACCGAUGCCGAAGCCUCACCCUGUGAAUGGAAGAAUCUCCGACGUGCAAGAGAGAGAAAACAAGAUAAAGAUAAAAUACCAUUUCUCUCUCUCUCGUCCCCACUCCCCCAAGUGUCCAAACCCCAACUCCCCAAGUGUCCAAAUUAAUCCCUAACUCCCCAAGUACCAACCAUAGCCAGGCCGGACCUGAGAUUUCAAGGUCUGAGAUGAGUUUUAAGAAUGGUGUCCUCUAAUGACCGGAAAGCUUCACCUUGAGCAGAGGAGUUUGAGGAGACCAGUAAUGAGGAAUAAAACUGGCAUAAUGGUUUAGAAGUUUGGGAGCAAAACCCAGUUUUUAGAGACGGAGGGGCCCACUAACUUAACAGUGAGGAGAGGAAAAAAGAAGAAGUUAAAAGAUAAACAAGUGGUUAACCCUUCUCUCCUCUUCUAAACCACAAAAAUCCAGUUUUUAUUAUCAUCGACAACCAUCACUGCUCAUCAUCAUCCCCGUUUCAAACUUCUCUCUCUCCCUUCUCUUCUCUUCUAAACCCAACCAUUUCCUCUGUUUUUCAUUUCAAAAAACCAAAACCCAAACAAUUAUAGCUUUAAGCUUUAGUUUCCAUGGCUAGCAGACUUUUCUAAUCCCUCCUGCUCAAGGCAGCUACCGGAUUUUGGUGCCCCCAGAUUUUUGGGGCCUGAGGCAGCCGCCUCGUCGGCCUCACCUCAGGUUCGGGCCCAAGGAAGAAAAUUUCGGUGAUUACGGAAAUUUUGACCCUCCAAAAUAUGGAAAUUUCGACGGAAAUUUCGGGGAAAUAUCGAUUGCAGUAAAAAAAUUGAGAAAAUUGACGGAAAUUUGAAGAAAAACAAGGAAAUUUUAAACCAAACUUUAAGAGAUGUUUGUUUUCUAUAUUAUGUACUAUAUUUGAAAUGAAAACCUUGAAUAAACAUCGAUCUAUAAGGAGUUGUAGUAAGUUAAGGUGAAAAAGUUAGUGCUGAACCGUUAAUAAUUCUUAGAAGUUUACUUUAAACAUUUUUUUUUUAUGGCUGGAAACCCAAAGGAGGCUAGGUCAUCACGCUUUAUAUACAUAUGAUAUAUUUCACAUGGAAUUACAUGAGUACUUUAAAACCACGUAGAAGACCUAUGAUGUACAAAAUUUUCAUUAUCUUUAUCGUCUCUCUGUGUAGAGCCUUCAGUAUAUUGUGAAGAAUAGUCAUUAAAUAAUACCUCACCUUUAUAGAUAUAUUAAAAAUGAAUUAAGAAGUGUAGGUAAAAAAUCUUUUUUAUGGAAGUGUAGGUAAAAAAAUUAGUUGGAGAUUAGACAUUUACCUAAUUUUUUACUUUUCAAAUUAAAAAAACCAAUAUAUAUUAUAAAGAUACUAUAAUAAACAAGUUAAAUGGUUAGUAGGGUUGGUUAAGUUGUUAAUCUUGUACCAACCCGACCCAGGCUCGACUCACCUUCGCAGCAAAAUUCAAAGUCAAACAUUUCGGCAGGAAAGUAAGUUUUGCAGUGUUCAAAGUCAGGGGAAACAAUCAUUCAAAUUUGGGCGGGAAAGUGGGAAACCAUUUCAGCUUCGACUUUUCGGUGGGAUUUCAAAGUUUCGGCGAUAUUUUCGAAAUAUCGCGAUAUAUCGGAAAAUAUCGAUUAUUUCGGACGAAAAAUUCUGAGAAUGAAAAUAUAUAUCACCGUGUGAUAAAAACGAAAUUUUCGGCGAUAUUUCGACGAAAAUUUCGAUUUUUUCUUCCUUGUUCGGGCCUGACCAUAGCACAAUCGUUGUCUGCUAUUGUUGGGUCGCCGAUAUAGUUUUCUUAUUGGAAACUAUGCACUUUAUGUUAAUGCCUAGAGAACCCUAUUCCUCCAAAAAAGAAGAAGCCGGUGUCUAACAAGAAGCUGAAGAAAGAGAGGCUGAAGCAAGGCGUCUCUGCUCCAGCAGGCGAGUAAAUAUGGAAGAAAGACCGCAACUCUGCAUGCAUGUUGAGCUCACAUAUGUUGAGAGUUUGUUCUUUCAUUUCCCUUAAUACUAGAUGGAAUUGGACUUAGUAAUUGGAACCCUGUAUUGAUCUAGCAACCAGGGAGUGAGAAUGUUGUUCCUAAGACAGUUUUUAUCUUCAAAUUUUCUUUCUUAAACAAGUAAUAAUCAGACCUCAGAACUUAGAAUGAGUUACUUUGCCAAAUAAAAUAAAAAAUAAAAAAACAUAACAGAAAGAAAGGGAAGAAAAAGAAAAAGAAUAAAAAGAAAUAUUCUGAACCAUCAAUACUUUGUCUCUGUUCCUCAUGUGCUAGAAUAAACGAAAACAUCUAACUGUUUGUGAAAGAAAAAGAAAAAAAAACAUGUAAACUAAGACUAAUGCAAAAAGAAGGAAAAUAUACCUCAUGUGAAUAUAGCAGAAAGAAAUGUAGUGGAUCUACAAAAACCGCGACCAUGCAAGAUACUACAAAAAACUUGUUUUAUCUUCAAACAACUUUGUUAUCAGGUUCACAAUCCCGAUAACAUAGGGAUGCAAAAAAAAACAUGUUCCUUUAAACAAACUCAACAAAUUCUUUUUGUAUGACAUAUUUGUCUAUCGCUAAAUAUGAAAUGAGUGAAAUGUCGAUGAGGAUGAUUGUGAAGUUGUUUGGAUUUAAAUGUAUAAUGAGGUACGGAUCGGAGAGAUGGGAGAAUGGGAAGUUCGAUAUAUGUAUUAGAUGAGUGAACUCAAUGAGGAUGAAGUUGUGAGAUUUAUGAUAUGGGAAGAUCGAUGCCUUAUAUAAAGAAGAGGACUAGAGGAGUGAUGUUGAUAUCACUGGAAUCAAUAUGUUUGGCCAUGUUUUUAAGAAAUGAUUGUUUUUAGUUAGGGACAGAAAAUUUUCAUGCCUAGUUGUGCAUGUAUUACCUAGAGACACAUUAUAUAUAUGAUGGUGUGCACGGUAAAAAGGCAUAUGAUAACGACUUCAAGGAAAGCAUUCAAAUUUUCUCAAAACUAAAGUAACACUUUAUUCUCCCAUAUUUCUAUCUUCAACUCUCUUUAAUCUUUCAUUCAAUUGGAAGAUUAACAUAAGAGAUGAACCAGUCUUGGUGGACCCAUAAUCACAUCCAAGCUUCACCGAAAUCAAAUCCUCUGUCUUCCUAAGCGAGGAUGGAUCAAGAACAUUAUAUGUAAGGGAUAAUUCAAAUUCAGCACUUUCUGGAAAGCAAUCUGAGAAAUCCCCAUGGGGCUUUUGUUGGGCUUUAUCCUAUUGUCUUUCUUCAAUCUUCAUCUAUUGUUCGUCUUUGUCUUAUACCCAUCUUCUUCCGUUCUCUGAUUCUGUGCAACUUUGAUCUUUAUCUUUGUCUUAAUCUCAUCCUGUAAUAAGUUUUUGACCCACUUUCCCUUUCGAUUUCUUUUUCUCUAUAAAUAUCUCUCUUGAGUCUCAUACACCCAAUCCCAAUUACAGUCAUUCAAUCUCGUCCUUCAUCGGCUCAUGUACAAACAAUGUUUUUUUUAGGAGCCACUCUACCCAGAACCAUCGGUGGUAUACUUUGGAAAAUAAAGUAUGUAAAUCAAUCUGCCACUUGCCCAUUGCAUCACCAAUAAUCGACACACCCAUUGAAAUCGAUUGAACCAGAUUGAAAUACUGAGAUGCAAGAGUGAAUUGAUUUUUCAGAGAAAAGAAAAUAUCAGAUCUAGAAGAAGAAGAAGAUUCGAAUGAAGUUAACAGAGCAAUUGACGUUAGUUCCUGCCAUUUGCUUGCUUGGAAAAAAAAUACAAACGUGUCAACACGAGUGGAUGGUCGUAUGAAUGACGUGGUGCGAGUGCCGCACCUAAGAGUAAGUCCACCCCAAACUCCAAAACUGUGACCCAGACCUUUAGCCAUCUCAAAUAAAGACUCAGACAAAAAAAAACCAAAUCCACCUAUAGAAAAAAAUGAUAACCCAAUCUUUAUUAGAUCAAGACCUGAGUUAGACUCAUAACCAGGCAGAAAAAUGAAGGCCCGGGCCUUCCCUCUCCAGCUCAGCCCACUUGCAUGGGUUUGCAUGACGUCAGCCAUGUUAGAAGACUUGGAGAGAUGAAAGAAGACGCGUCUUGAUGUGGGUGAAGAACACAGACCAAUUGUUGAUGAAAGAGGACGCGCGGGGAACUCAUUUUGUCGCCAUGCGGGGUUAGUGGAUGGGCCACAUGCACGUUCCAAACCUUCACACACCCAUUUAUGUGAAUCUGAUGGUAUAUAUUUAACAACCAAAUAUUUUUAUUACAGAAAUAAAUAGGAAUUAUAAGUUAUAGUUUUAUUUUUUUGGAAUUUUAAUUUCUUCAACAUCCCACAAAAAAAAAAUUGUGCAUUUUAGAUCCAAUUUUUCAUAUCCCUAGCAUUGCUAUUUAUUUAUAAAAUUUUCAUAAAUUUGUCAUAUUAAAUAAUUCCGUGGAAUAAAUAUUUUUAAUAAAUAUUAAACAGUCACUGUCACGUGGUGACCCAAAAACUAAAAUCAUGGGUGGAAACUACAGCUCAAAAUCACUGCCACGUGGCGACCUAGGUCUCGCCUAAGACCCAGACCUUCCCAACGAAGACCUAGAAGGUGGACUUGUUCUAAGAUGACACGGUGUGAGUGCCCCACGCAAGAAUUGCUCCCUGGACCGUGACCACGUGUUUUGGAUAGGGUAAUGCACUACAAAAAAUAUGCGUAAAAGCGACAGUUUUUUCCCCACAUUUUCAGUUUUCGUGGGAGUAUAGUACUGAAUAGUGUCAACGUUUGAAAUCUUUCGAACUCUCCCACGCAAGUCGCAACUUCGAAUUCGUGGAGUAUAAAACAAUAAAAAAUUGUUCUGUAUGGGUAUUUAAUUCUGACACUCUAUUUUUUUUUCCAGUUUAUAAUUCUAAAUUCAGUAAACACCACGCUUUUAACAAUUAGUGGGAAGUAAAUAAUAAAAUAUUAUGAUAGUGUGGAAUUAUGAUGUUGAAACGAUGUAAUUAUCAUGACAUUUUAGUUUCUUACCCGUUUUUAGUAAUUAAUUCAUUUGAAUGUCCCACAAAUAUGCACAAAACGUGAGAACUUAUCUGUACAAGUACAACUGUUGNNNNNNNNNNNNNNNNNNNNNNNNNNNNNNNNNNNNNNNNNNNNNNNNNNNNNNNNNNNNNNNNNNNNNNNNNNNNNNNNNNNNNNNNNNNNNNNNNNNNNNNNNNNNNNNNNNNNNNNNNNNNNNNNNNNNNNNNNNNNNNNNNNNNNNNNNNNNNNNNNNNNNNNNNNNNNNNNNNNNNNNNNNNNNNNNNNNNNNNNNNNNNNNNNNNNNNNNNNNNNNNNNNNNNNNNNNNNNNNNNNNNNNNNNNNNNNNNNNNNNNNNNNNNNNNNNNNNNNNNNNNNNNNNNNNNNNNNNNNNNAUCUAUAAACAAGAUAAACAAGAAAUGGAGUAAAAAUUUCAACAAAGAUUAAUUCCUGGUACACUUUCAUCUUUCUUAACAUCUUAUGGCAUUGAUAUUGACUGGAAUAGCUCACAAAUAAUUUGCAGAUUGCAACUCUAGUUAAAUCCAAUUUGUCAAUACUGCACUUUAAUGCAUCAGGACUCGAGCCUAGUUGUUAUAUAUACUUCUAUAGUAAAGCUAGUAUUAGUAUAUGUGAACAAAGUUCAAAUCUGUGCGUAAGAAUGAUCCUUUCUAAGUUUCUCAUCUGUAUUAUUUGAAUGUCUGCAGUUUGCGAUACCAUUUCCACCCUGUGACAGGUGGAUGCUGAAGUUUUUAGUAAUCCAGCAAUGAUUUUGAAGAUGAAAUUGACCAAUCUUCCAUGGAGACUAUAAAUCAUUCAGAAAGGGUCCCUAAAAUGUAAAAUUGUUUAGAAUUACAUAUGAAAGCUUGUAGUGCCUUUGAUUCCAUGACUGAAAUUUACAGGGUUAGCAUUUCUGGCUUACUAAAGCUUGUACUGGCUCCCACCAUAUAUGCCAAGAUGCUUAGAAGAUUUCUGCCAAUCUCUUUAUUUUGGCGUAUGUAAGGAUCAAAAACUGACAUGAUUGCAACCUAAGAGCUAUAAAAUUUGAUCAAAAUUUUCUCCAAUUCAGUCAUAUAUCAUGCUAGUCAAGUUCAUCAUGUUGUUUGGAAACAAUGUGACUUAUCAUGCGAAUUUCACGUCACUUAUCACACAGAAACGCUCUUACCAACCUCUCCGUAACCGAGUUUGGUUGAUUCUUUCAUACGUUAAACUCUCACACAGAUGAGACGUUACACAUAAAAAUUUGAAAACGUUUGAUUCCUGUUGAUACGGCUCCCCAUAAGGAAGAUUAAGGGUAAAAAAGGUUGACCGUUUUUAUCGGUACCCAAAAGUUACUCGAAAUAUGUGAUUUUUCAACCAUAGCCGUAUUUCACUAUUCCGAUCACAUCUUAUUUACGAGAUUUUUGCUUCCUUUGUACAGUUGGUUUACAAAAUUGUACACUUGCAUAUAACCUACUAAACAAGUUAUAUCACAUUAGUAGACACGUUGUGAUUUCGAUGACUAAAAUUCUCAAAAUGAAAAUUCCACAGUCUGAUAUGAUCAUUAUAGUAAACCAUGUCUAUGGUAUAAAAUUCAACUCUAUUCGGUAGCGUUCGGGGCUCGAUCGAAGCGGUCAACCAUAAUAUAUCGUCACUUAUCACACGGAAACGCUCUUACCUACCUCUCCACGACCUAAUUUGGUCAAUUCUUCCACACGUUAAACUCUCACAUAGAUGAAACGUAACCACACAUAAAAAUUUGGAGACGUUUAACUCUCGUUGAUAGGGCUCCCUAUAGGGAAGAUUAAGCGUAAAAAAGGUUAACUGCUUUUAUCGGCACCCAAACGUUAACCGAAAUAUGUGAUUUUUCAACCAUAGUAGCUAAACACUAUUUUGAUCACAUCUUAUUUCACGAGAAUUUUGAAAAUUUUACUUCCUUUAUGUAGUUGGUUUAAAAAGUUGUACACUUGCAUAUAACCUAUUAAAUAAGUUAUACUAUAUUAGUAGACACGUUGUGAUUCCGAUAACUUAAAAUCACAAAAUGAAAAUUCCACCGUCUGAUAUGAUCAUUAUAGUAAAUCAUGUCUAUGAUAUAAAAUUCAACUUGAUUCGGCAACGUUCGUGGCUCGAUCGAAGCGGUCAACCCUAAUAUAUCGUCACUUAUCACACGGAAACGCUCUUACCUACCUCUUUGUGACCUAGUUUGGUUGAUUCUUUCACACAUUAAACUCUCACAUAGAUGAGACGUAACCACAUAUGUAAAAAUUUGGAGACGUUUACCUCCCGAAAAUAGGGCUCCUUAUAGGGAAGAUUAAACGUAAAAAAUGUUACUGUUUUUAUCGGCACCCAAACGUUACCCGAAAUACGUGAUUUUUCAACCAUAGCUAUAUUUCACUAUUUUGAUCACAUCUUAUUUCACGAGAUUUUUGAAAAUUUUGCUUCUUUUGUGUAGUUGGUUUACAAAGUUGUACACUUGUAUAUAACCUAUUAAAUAAGUUAUACUAUAUUAGUAGACACGUUGUAAUUCCAAUGACUAAAAAUCAUAAAAUGAAAAUUCCACCGUCUGAUAUGAUCAUUAUAGUAAAACAUGUUUAUGAUAUAAAAUUCAACUUGAUUCAGCAACGUUCGGGGCUCGAUCGAAGCAGUCAACCCUAUUAUAUCGUCACUUAUCACACGAAAACACUCUUACCUACCUCUUUGUGACCUAGUUUGGUCGAUUACUCCACACGUUAAACUCUCACAUAGAUGAGACGUAACCACACAUAAAAAUUUGGAGACGUUUACCUCCCGAAGAUAGGGCUCCCAUAGGGAAGCAUAAACGUAAAAAGAGUUGACCGCUUAUAUUGGACUCGGACUUUACCCGAAAUACGUGAUUUUUCAACCAUUGCCGUAUUUGACCAUUCCGAUCACAUCCUAUUUCACGUGAUUUUUGAAAAUUUUGCUUGCACUGUAGAGUUGGUUUAUAAAGUUGUACACUUGUAUAUAACCUACCAAACAAGUUAUACCACAUUAGUAGGCACGUUGUAAUUCCGAUGACUAAAAAUUACAAAAUGAAAAUUCCACCGUCUGAUAUGAUCAUUAUAGUAAAACAUGUCUAUGAUAUAAAAUUCAACUCGAUUCGCAAUGUUCAGGGCUCGAUCGAAGCGGUCAAUAUCUUAUGACACUACUAGCAGCCUGAUCUUUAUUAGCAUUUUUCAUGGCCACGUUUUUCAUGGCCGAGCUCAUCUCACCCCUGUACUGUUCGUAAAGUUUCCUCCAGUUGUUCAAGCAGUGUUUGGGGACUUGAUUAAUGUCAAAAAUAGGAAGUUUCUUGAUUUCUGAACAAGGAUACAGAGGAAAAUCAGUAUGUUAAAAGUUGAAAUAAAUCAUUUUUUAUCUAAAGUUAUAAUUUGAUGGAAAUUUCAUAACUUUGAAAUACUAAAAGGAUUUGACAUGGGAACAUCACAGAAAGCUAUCAUAACCUUUGACAGAAAUUGGUUCAUGAUCAACAUUAAACAUUAUCUACCAUCAAAUUUUAAAAGAUUUUGGUUGAUUUAUAACAAUCCAUAGAUUCUGCUAAUUCUAUGGAUUGUUUUAAUUCCAUAUGGAGUUUAACAAAUUUUAAUAGAUUGAUUUAUUAGUAUUCUUUUAGACUUUUAUAAGUCCACAGAUUGUUGUAACGGCAAUAAAUAAAAAAAAGUUUCUUAAAACACAAACAAUACAGUAAAAACGAUGAUGACUUGAAACAUAAUGCUCUGAUACAAUAGUAUAUAGGUUACUAGUAUCACAUCAUACAGAGAACUGUAUCAAAUCCAAUCUCUCUGUUUGUGAUCAACUCCCCUAUAAUUGAAUAUUCAAGGAACAAUUUUCCCAACAUAAGCACUCAGAAAAAUAGAUUUUCAUCACCAUCUAAAAGCUAUCUAGCAUUAUUAACCAGAUGCAGACCCAUAAUUCUUCCCACACACAAUUAGCUGCAACUCGUCACAACCAGAAAUUAAAGAAUACCAACACCAGCAAUGGCAUGGAGGACGUUUGCAUCAACACCCUUGAACAAGGACUUAGCACCCACAUUCUUCAAGAUCUGAGUGAAGGCUUCAAAACUCUUGUACUCGACAGCUUCACCAGAGGUCAUUAUCUACGAACAGUGUCAAUUGGGUAGGAAGAUAGACCAGCACCAUUUCUGAUGACCUAGGAGAAGUACUACAAGUCAAAAACAAAAGGAUGAUUAUCAAAAACAAAAUGAUGUCAGCUGGAAUACCUACAAGCCAUAAGAAUCUAGUCGUGGACAAAUAAAGUAAAUAUAAAUACAGCUUCCGCCAACACACUGAAGUUGCAUAUCCUUGGAAUCAAACCACCAAUAUAGGAUAAAUAGAAUUUGCAAGCACAUAAAAGUACAAAGAAUACCAAUCAAAUUACUACAGGCCUUAUGAUAUAAGUGUCACUACAACGCUUAAUAAGAGUUCAAAAAUGAAUGAUCCACUGAUCCAUGAGUGACCACACUAACACUUGAGUAAUACAGGACCUCAAUACUUUCCUACUAAAAUAACCAUUUUAAACAGUAGUAUAAGGGUAUUCAGAAUUUCAGAUAUGAUACAUGAGUAGCAUAUAUUAAGAUCGCAAAUUGAAGAAAACAUAUAUAUCUCUCGUAGUUAGAAGAGAUGGGACAACAGUUGGAUAAUGACAUAACUAAUCUUUGGUUUUCAAAGUUUAUCUGCCCAUCCAUUCAAAACAAACGAAUCAUUAUUAGCCGCUAAACAAAUCACAGAGUCAUUCCUUUUACCCUCAAAGUUAUCAAUGUUGUUCUUGUAACUAGGCACGUGUUGCUACAAACAAUUCCCCUUAUACACACCCUGACCUACAGACAUAUAUACCAAUAUCCAACACUCAAACAAUUCCCCUUAUACACCCUGACCUACAGGUUUGUCUUUCUCAAGUUCAGACUAUCUUAGCAUACUGGAAAUCAUAUGCCAUCAUUCUGAGAGAAAUUUGUACAGCCUCCUCAAUCUCAAGCUAACUAGCUCUUAUAAUCAAUGCACUCAGUUAUGCGCCCUACGUACUUCUCUCUCUUUUUCCUCUACAAAACUUGAUGCUUUGGCCGUCAACCAUGAAACUGUUUCCAGGAAAGAUAAUGUACUGCAAUCAUCUACUUGUUCGUGCAAACCAUUGAGUUCAGACUUCAGAUACACCAUGUGUAAUGUGGAUUUUUGUGAUAGAGAUAUUUCCCUAAAUUAUUUAUUCUAUUAGUCAAAACCUUGUUAAAAACAUAAACUAGCAGCUUUUAAUGUCUUCCUGUAGACAUCAACCUUAGGUUUCAAAUUCUAGCUUGAUUCGAUUAGUUACACAAUCAACCUAAGCAAGUGUUCGACAUAAUGAUUCUGAAACAAAUGCGACGUACAAUACCAGCACGAACCCCAACAAGAAAUAUGAGAUUAAGAUUCAAAUACGAACAGAAAAGAGAAACAAAGAGCAUGAUUGAUACCUUUCGAGUGAAAUAUGGAUCAUUGGCGAGAACGAUGGUCUCGAAACUGAGUCGUUUGAAUCGUUCGCAGCGGUUGAUUCCUUCGUUUUCAACGGAGGCACCGCCGCCGCUGUAGAUCUUUGACUCGGAAGAACAUCACUCAGAGCCUCAUCGAGCUUUCGACUUGAAGAACAACCUACCGAGGAGAGAACCCAGUGAGCUCUCCUCAGACUCCAUCAAAAUCUCGUGGGAGAGGCCAGAUUUCUUAAUGGAAUUUGUAUUUAUACCUAGCCCUCUAAAAUCCAUCAAAAUCUAACAACUGAUGGAAUCCUUGAGAAUCUAUAGAGUUUUGAAUACCCUCGUAUUUUGAUGGAUAUUUUAAAAUCUGAAUCGAAUACAUCAAGAUUUAUAAGGAGUUUUUAAAAUUUGAUUGAAUACCCAUAGAUUUUCAGAAUCCAAAAAAAUCCAACAGACUCCCAAUUGAAUACACCCCCCUAUGUAGUUCAAGUCUCACCUUGGAACCUCUCACAGAAUUGUCUAUAAGCAUCAGAAGGAGCAGACAGGAUUUCAUCGGGAGAAGGGGAGGAACAAAGUGAUUGUCCAUUGCACAAUGUCGCCGGCAAUGGAUUGGAAGUCUCACCUGCACCACACAAACACACAAAACUCACUAAUUUGCUUAAAUUUCAUCAUAAAUUUCGGCUAAUCACUAAAAGCAUCAACUAGAUUAUAAGUCUAACCCUGAGACUGAAAACUUAAAUAAAAUGGUGCAUCAGUAACUACGACCUUUACCAUCAGACUUGCUUUGACAAGAAUAAGUGUGUGCCACUUUCACUGGAGAAUAAGGUGAUUGUGUAUUGUUGUUGUUUCUGGGUUGCUCUAGAACAGUAAAUGCCUCACCUGCACCAAAAGCUUUAUUAUAGUCAUAUAACAGCAUUGACCACCAACAAAAUGAAUCAACUUGAGAGAGUGAAAGUAGUGACAAACCUUGAAACCCAUCAUCAAGUUGGCCAGGACCAGACAGUCUUUGAGAAGAAGUGCGUGCAAGUUUCAUCGGAGAACCCGAUGAAUAAGGUGAUUGACCUCUAACAGGUGGCAGGUGAUUAAAUGCCUCACCUGCACCGAAAAUCUAGUCAUAUAACAGUGAUGACAACAAGUCCAGUAGUCCACAACCAAAUGAAUCAACUUGAGAAAGCAAAAUAUGACAAACCUUGUGACUUCUCAUGAACUUGUGCAUGAGUAGACAAUCUUUGAUAAGAACAACUCCCUGUUGCUUUCGAUGGAGAACCAUAGCAGUAAGGUAACCUGUCACUAACUGCCUCACCUGCACCAAAAUCCUUAACACUAUCACACACAAAACACUCAUAUGACCACAAUGCAAUGCAUCAAAAUAGAGAACGCAAGAAGCACAACAAACCUCGAGACCUCUCAUCAACUUGUACAUGAGCAAUAAAGCUUCCAUCACAGCUUCCGGGUUGCUCCACAACACCAUACACCUCACCUGCACCAAAACCCACAGAUCCAGUUUCCCUCACUAUAUCAAACCCACAGUAAAGAACACUGGAGACCAUCAUAUAUACCCCAACCCUGAACAUGAAGUGAUGAAAACUAUACCGAACCGGGAUCGAUCCAUGAACAUAAAUCAAUCAGAACUAACAAACCCUAAACAUUGGUAAGGCUGACGAGAUUAAUAAAUGGUAAACGGCGUGUUGUGUAAGCUUCGGCAAUGUAGACUGUAGAGUGGAGUUAAUUGAUUGAUAGGUUCAUAACUCUGAAGCAUGCAACGCCAUUUGUUUUUGGUCUUUUCCUAUCAAAAAUCCUACACUUCUAGUCCAAUUAUUCUUUAAUCCUGCACAUAAUCUGAUGCUAAUUUACCAAAACUAAAGAUCCUGAGCUCAAAUCAAGAACAAAAUCAACACUAGAACUCGACUCGACCCGAGAAUCGAAAUGGUACCUUGCUGAUUGGUCCCUGAAGGAGAGAGUGACGCUCUCCGAAGCUUCUCCGCUGGGCUUGUUCACCUAGAUCCACGAGACUUCAUCGGAAACCUCGGCAUCCGGAUCUGCGGCGCCGCCGAUCUUCGUGACCAGCCGGACCUUUCGCGAUGUGCUGGAGCGGCGUUUAGGGGUUUUGGUGAGGUCGGGGUUGCCGGAAGCCAUGUGAAAAAUUAGGUCUGGGAGAAAUUAGGGUUUCAAAUUCGAGAUCUGAAAGCUUCGAAAUUGAGAGAGAUGAGAGCAAAGGCCAGUUGGGAAUUGAAAUUGGGGGAAAUUGAAAUUUAGAGAGAACUAAAGCGGGGAGUGGGCGGAAGCAAAGAUGAAUAGGAUAGUCACCCACGCACGACGCGCCUCGCUAGGCGUGCUUACAAUUGACAGUUAAAACGAGUUAAUUACCUUUUCAUUUCCGUCAGAAAACAAACGCGGAGCACAGACGCUCCGGAGCAUUCCAGACGUCUCCUCUCCUUCUAUCUUCUCCUCCCUUCUUUCUUUGUCUGUAACUCAUCAAAGCUUCAUUGUUCAUUCUUCCUUCAUAAACGUUUUUAGCUGAAAAACGUAUCUGUGGUGAACUCGAAAACGAAUCUCUCUUAGCCGGUGUACAGAAAUAAAGAAGUCUUUCACACUACCAGAAAUGUGGGCAACAAACACCAUCAUAAUGAUGUGCAUUGAACCAAUGGAAACUAAUCAGUGGUGUGGAUUCAUGAUAGCCACGGCCCUAGCCACUAUUAUGAGAUUAGUUUGCAUUGCUGGCGUGGCUUUUCCUAACAAUACACUAUCAUCUUUUUGGUGACUACAUAUAUACUCACUAAUUCAAUCUUUGGUGACUUCAUUGAAUUAAUAAAUAAAAAAAUAUUCAGCUAUAAAACUCUAUGGGUCCUACAUAUUCAGCAAAAGCAUCUUCAAAACCAGCUUCUUUAAAUUCAAAACCGCGAUCUCUAUCUCGUCUCUAGUAUCUCCUGCAAAGCAACAACAUGGGCAAAGAUUACUUGGCUAUAAAUCACCCCUCAUAAUUUUAUUUCCUUCAUAUAACAGAUGAUAUGUAUCUUGUGGAAAUAAAAUCAAUGUAUCCAGUGGAAAUAAAAUUAACUUGAAGCUCAUAAACUAUCAACAUGUUCAUAACCCGUGACUUUGUAAAAAUAUAAACUUAAAGCUCAUAAACUAUCAACAUGUUCAUAACCCCUGACUUCAUACCUAUAUCAACUUGAUGAACAAGUUCAUAUAAAAGCUCCCUACAUGUUAUGUAUCACAUACCUUAGUUCUUAAUACAAGAUAAUCCUCUCCUCUCUCUUUUUCCAUCACUAAAAUGCAAGUAUAGUGUACAAAGUCCACAUCUUUUCCUGCAAGCAGAAAAACACACUUUGGGUAAGUUGGCCAGAAAACAUACAAUAAAUUUCUUUUGGGUAAGAACCUUAGAAGAAACAAUUAUCAUUCACAUUUAUUAUAGUAAAACCUGGUUCAAGUUCAUAAAUUAAGCAUCUAUCGGCAUAGUUGACACAUAGAAGGUAAAAUCUGAAGCUAGAAAUGAGGUUAUAGUGAACAAUAAUGUAUUAUGAAUUAAGUUCCCAAGGAAUGGUAGUAUCAUAUAUAGUAAUGGUAGUAUCAGCCCACUUUUAUGGAUGAUGCAUAUUCAAUUACUGAUUCACAUUUACAAAAGAAUAUAAGCGUACCUUAUUGAGUGAACGACAUUUUUUUGUCUCCUCAUUCAUACGGUCUUGCAGCUUUCUGUUUCAGAAUGAACACCCUACAAAAAAAACUGCAUAUGACCAGUCAGUUAAGAAUCUUAAGAAGUUCAAAUAGAUUGAUAUGAAUCAAGGACAAUUGUAUACAAAUUAAGAACUGAUAAGGAGGGAAGAUAAAUAUGUAGGUGAAGUUUACCUCCUUCAACACCAGGGCAUCUAACUAUUCUUUUGUCAUGGUAAGACUUGACUAUAGGAGGCGCUUCCUAUAACACAGACAACAUACUAGCCUCAAUACACAAUAAUGGAAGCCCUAAACAUUAUUUGUACAUGUUCUAAACCAUGUAAACAUGCUUCAACUUUACCAGUUGAAAUUGACACAUAAGAGGUGCACAAUACGCAUAUUUUUUUGUCUAUUCAUUCGAUAGAAAGCAAUUAACCAUGUAACCACAAAAUUCAUAUGGUAAGAUCGAGGAGUCUGACAACUAUUAUCUCUUUUUUCAUUCAUUCACUCGAAGAUCAAAAUAUAAAUAAAAAACACCUUCCCCUCGAUAGUUAUUAGAAAUCUGCAAUUAGGAAUCAAAAGACUCUUGUUUAAGGUCUAAAAGUAUGAAUGUAAAAGCCCACUUCUACGACAACAAAUGCCAAAGUCAUCUCAUAUAAUUUAUGAAUAAUGAAGCAAGAACAUGAAACAAAAAAAUUAAAUCUUCAGAGUACCUUAGUACCAAAAGGAUUAAUUGGAUUAUUAAUCUCAAGAAUUUCCUCCCCUAAAAAUUAAGUCUUCGGAGUACCUUAGUACCAAAAGCAGAUAUAAACUAACAAUAAUAUGAAGUUUGACUAUCAUAUUCAUCUCAUCACCCAAAAACAGUGAUGUAAGCUACUUAAUAUAACAGACCAUAAAAGCUGGAAGAAGCUAGUUAUGCAGUAAUUCUCUAUUUGGUGUAAAGAAUAUAAAACUCCAAAGAAACUGCAUUUGAUUGAAGAGUUCAUAAAAUUGAUUUCCCAUCAAGAAUAUACAGUCACAUUUAAGAUUGAUACAAAAGACAUAUCUACAAGUUAAAUGUGCAGACAUACUGACAAUUAAACAUUAGUGUCUACAUGAACUCCUUUUUUUCUUAUUGAUACAUGAACUCCUUUUAUACCACAUCAAACUAAUAAUAAUCAAGUUAUUAGUAGAGUCCUUACUUAAACCUCAUGAACAUUACAAAGUAUUGAAAGCGAAUAAACAUCUCAGAGAACAGAACUCACCAGGUAAACAACUUCUAUUAAAUAAUUCUCGACAUUGUCAUUUCUGAAACAACAGUAUCAAGAAUAAGCACCCAAAUUAACUAUUAUAUAGUCAGCAGUUAUAAAAUUUCAUCAAAAAAGAAUUUUCAUCAGUUAAAUUAUAUCACCUUCCACAGUUCCACCUUUCAUUAUCCUAAAGAUCAUGAAAAUGUCCAUUCCUUUUCUGUUCUUUUGACCAGUGUGAUAAGCUUCAUUCCAACCCUAAAAAAUUAACCCCAAAGUUCAAGUUUUGCGGUGGAGAAAGAAUGCAUGCAAGAGCCUCUAAAACCAAAAUAAAGAAUUAUGAUGCACAAGAAAAGAAAAGCACAACAUACCAAAGCAAUUAAAUAUAACAACUUCAUUACAAAUGUAAAAACGAAGCAGAUAGGGAGAUACACUGACUUGUUCCUCUUUCCAUUCAUCGGGUCGGAGCACCAGUUAAUCUUUCACAGCCCAUGGUGAUCUGCAAAAUUUUCAAUCGAUCAAUCUUCAUACUAUGCUGAAAGAUGAUAUCGGAAACCAAUCAAUGAAGCGAGAUUGGGAUUUAAGAUUUUCAUUACUUGCAGCGCCGACGAAGACACGGAGUUGGAUUAGAUCGGCGUAUGGCCGAAACAGACAGAGUAAUUUAGAGGCUUGUCGAGCUGCGGUAGCUGAGAGAGAGAGAGAGAGAGAGAGAGAGAGAGAGAGAGAGAGAGAGAGAGAGAGAGNNNNNNNNNNNNNNNNNNNNGGAGAGGAACUUCGUUAUGCACCAUAAGAAAAAAGAGAUAAACUCAUAAAAGUAUAAUUUUAUAACUUUAAACAAUAUUGGUGACGGUCAAACAGUUGUGGUUUUUGCUAAUAGUGACACCGUUAUAAGGAUUGGGGAGAAAUCCUAUGGGUUAUGUCACCAUUAGACUAAUAGUGCAUAGAAAAUAGUAUCUGAUGCCCACAUUUGUGGUAGUGUCAUCUGCAGUCAUAGUCUCAAGAAUGACAAAUCGUCAUCAUCUGAAGUAUUGAGGCAUGUCAGAGAUUUCCAAUCUUCCUUCAAAAGGUUAGAUUUUUCCUUCCAUGACCCAUGUAAUAUCAGGAUUUAAGUGGGUAUAACAUGACUGAGAAAUUUGAAAAUAGGAAUUUAUUGGUUAUGAUUUCUUCAUGAUUUUCUGCUAACAUAAAUUCUCAAUUUUUUUUUCAUAUAUUAUUUCUUAGGAAAUUGAAUUCUGGUGAAGUUAAUCAAUGUGUUUGCAUAUAGGCGUCAACAGAUCGAGCUUGGCUGAGUAGUUGCCUCCUCCACAUGUAUAUGUGUUGGCUUUAAACUCAGUCUUCUACUAUAUGUGAUGUUUUGUUUCGUUAAGUGUUUAUUUUGUGAUCUUGUUUCGUCAAGUGCUGAUGUUUCUUAAUAUCUUUUAUUAAACAGCGACAAGCGUGGCUCGUGGAUCACAUUGUACCGAUACUGUCCCAACUUAACCACCUUUAAGGUGUUGGGUUUUAAUCACAAAAGGCCUCGGUACAAUUGGAUAAGAUCCAUCCACAUAUAAGUUAUAUUUUAUUUGUCACUUUUCUGAUGUGGGAUUUAUUCCUCUCUAAUACUUCUAAUACGCCCCCUCACGUGCAACCUGACUUAAGGUCCGCACGUGGAAUGAAUCGGGACGGAACGAACCAAGGGACACUUAGUGACAAUCCAAUCGGAAUAUUCCGAUGGUGAGACAAGAAGCCGGAACCGGGCGAGAAAAUAGAAUCCCGGACCGGACGAGAGAAUGAACCCAAAUCGGGCCCAUGAGAAUUGGAGAAGUAAUUGGAGAGGGACCCGCUCUGAUACCAUGUUAAACAGCGACAAGCGUGGCCUAUGGAUCACAUUGUACCGAUACUGUCCCAACUUAACCACCUUUAAGGUGUUGGGUUUUAAUCACAAAAGGCCUCGGUACAAUUGGAUAAGAUCCAUCCACAUAUAAGUUAUAUUUUAUUUGUCACUUUUCUGAUGUGGGAUCUAUUCUUCUCUAAUACUUCUAAUAUUUUUGUCUACUUUUCAGGUAUGUGUUCUUGCAAAAUUUAUUAGCCUUAGCUGAAGUUGUUGUUGAGCUUGACUUACAGAAUGAGGUUGGGGAAAUACAAAGAUUAGCCUUUUCGACUUUGCAAAGGAUGGAUCAGGCCAUCAGGGGACGAGCAUCAUUAGUUAGUUUCAACUUUCAACAAUAGUUUUUUAGAUUAGCUCCAUGUAAAUAGAUUAGCUCCAUUUCCCUCCUGGCCUCCUGGGAAAUUUUGAUUAGUUGUGCUUUGUUGUGGAUUUCCUGCAAAUCAGUUAAUGAAUAUAAUCAUUUAGAGAAACUCCGUAUUUCUAUGAAUAAUUGGACGUAUUUCUAUAAAUAAUCGGGUAUUUCUCUAAAUAAAUACAAACCAAUUUGAAUAAGAGCCGUCAGAUAUAUGGUGGGCCCAGAUAAUUCACAUUUAUAACAGCUGUUGAAUUUUACACAUUUUUUUUACAAUCCACACACCUCUAUCUCACUUUUUAUAAGAAAAUGUCUAAAAUGACUCUAUUUUAGACAACUAGAAAAAUUAAAACAUGGAUAGUUUAGACAUUUUCUUAUAAAAAGUAGGGUUUAGGUGUGUAAAUUUCACUCCCCUUAUAUUGACCCUUAAAAUGGUAAUAUAAAAUGGGUCCCAACUUUGAUAGCACCCACGAAUGUUUCGUAUACGUGAGAUUUUUAAGCUAUCGCCAUGGCAUUAGUCCGCAAAUCGUGACCAAGCCCAAUGCACACGAUUAUUCGUAGGUAAAAAGGCAACUCCCACGAAACAAAUUCCUAGCUAUACCCAGUUUUUUUUUUUUUUUUUUAGUGAUGGCUGAUUAAGUUGGAUAAGAGCUAGAUGUAUUGGUUCCACUUCCACCUCCAUGUAAACACAAAACUAUUGUAAUUUACCACACAAUAACUAAUUAGCAAAGACUAGUAGAAUACGUAUAUGUACUAAUGUACACCAAGGACUGACACCAAACUAACAAUUCAGGUGGCCCAUAUAUAACCGAGUUCGUUUUAUAAUUCGAGUUCUUACAUCUUUUUAAUAGAUUGAGCUGAUCAAGCAAAAAUUCGAAUCAAACAAAUGAAGUAAACGGAUCAAUGAACACAGGUUAUUCAAUAUGCAUGAUUGUGAUGUUACUGAAAUUAAUGGACAAUCAAUUUCAGUAUAAAGCUUAAGGUUAGCUGAGCAUGUCGUCUUAAUUAACUGCAGUACGUAUAGAUGAUCUGUUCUCAUUCAGUGUGCUGAUGUUCAUCUUCAGAAUGGAAAUCUGAAGUUGUGAAGAUGUAGUUUUUGAGAGCCCCGAGAAUGAUCCAUGCACAAUAGCACGAAAGACGAAAACUGAAGUGGAAGUAGAAUUUUUCUGUAAACUUUGUACCUACAAAAUUAAGUUUAAUAAUUUUCAGAUUCUUAUGCAGAGGUUUGGGUACGCAUGAAUCAAGAGAUCAGUGAAAGCAUAUUCUCAUCAUAAUUAACAUCAUACUUUCUGCAAUUUGUUCUCAAAUUGGAUUACCUAUAUAUAAAUUCUAGGCCAUAUAGAAAAUUAGAAAUAUAAGGUUGUUCAGCUUCCAUUCCGUGGAUGGAAAAUUCUAGUAUACCAUAUGGUAUAACAUACCUCACAAAAUAUGUGGCUAUCAUUGAUUGAAAAAACAACUAAAUGACCAUGUAAUGACUAUUUACCCCUUCAAAAGCCCACAUAGGCAUGUCAUACCAUAUGGUAUGAUAAACAAACCCUCCGUGGAUAUAUUUGUUAAAGAUCCUUGAAUCAUUUCCCCCAAAAAAGAAAAAGAAAAAAAAAGGAGAUCCUUGAAUCAGAGGUUAUAUAGGCUUUGAUGAAUGUCGUAUAUUGCUCGUCAUUUUCUUGAUGCAUCUAAUUAAGUACGUAGUUGGAGAAAACAAGAUGCCAGUGAAUCUAAUACCAAGAUUUCUUGCAGGGCUGCUUAAUAUCAAGUUAUCAACUAUUGUGAGUUACUAAAAUGAUUGAGUUCGUAUGUGGGUGAAGAUUUCACAUGGAAAUUUUGAUACAGAGAUAUGUAAUUAUGCAAACAGAUCCGUUCAUAUAUUCCUUUCCAUCGACAAACAAGUUACAUCAACACAGGCACACUUGAAAGAAAUCCCAUUUACAACAGUUGCGCACACAUGAUUAAAUCGAUCACUUCACUCCAAAACUUUCAAACCUCACUUUCCGGGAACAAAGUUUGUGGCAUAUGACCAAGCGUUGUUGUUAACAGGGUCAGCCAAGUGAUCAGCUAGGUUCUCAAUCGGUCCCUUUCCGGUAACAAUAGCUUGCACGAAGAAUCCGAACAUGGAAAACAUAGCCAGUCUUCCGUUCUUGAGCUCCUUCACCUUAAGCUCAGCAAAAGCCUCAGGAUCGUCUGCAAGCCCUAAAGGGUCAAAGCUCCCACCGGGGUACAACGGGUCUACUACCUCACCGAGAGGACCUCCUGCAAUUCUGUAGCCUUCAACAGCACCCAUCAAGAUCACUUGUGUUGCCCAGAUUGCCAAAAUGCUUUGAGCGUGGACCAAGCUAGGGUUUCCCAAGUAGUCUAGUCCACCCUCACUGAAGAUUUGAGCUCCAGCCUUGAACCAAACAGCUUCGCCGAACUUGACUCCAUUACGAGCCAAGAGUUCAGGGAAAACACAGCCAAGGGCACCUAGCAUGGCCCAUCUGGAAUGGAUGACUUCGAGCUCACGGUUCUUGGCAAAGGUCUCAGGAUCAGCUGAGAGCCCAGCUGUGUCCCAGCCGUAGUCACCGGGAAACUCUCCGGUGAGGUAAGACGGGGCUUCGCCGGAGAAUGGUCCCAAGUACUUGACACGGUCAGGACCGUACCACGGGCUGACGGAUGACACAUUCUUUGACUUGGCUGCGGUUUUGCGCAUGGUAACUCGGCCCUCACCGAGGAGGUUAGAUGUGGAGGAACCAAGCUUCACAGCUUGGCCAGCUAGAGAAGGGGAGGAGAGAGCCAUUGUUGAAGAAGCCAUUUGAGGAAAGUGUUGAGAGUUCUCAGCUUAGACAAUGUGGGGUGGUGAGGGCCGAGGGUUUGUGUUUUGAGUAGAGCCGUUGGUGGCUAUUUGUAUAGGGUUUUGUGUGGGGGUUCUUUAUCUUUUUGAUAUCUUCAUCUCUAUUCUUAUUGGGUGAUAGUGAAGUUUGAAGAUUUUUCCCUUCAACGGAUCUCUGCAUUUCCAGUUGGCCUCGUAUGCUCCACUACUAAGUUCAGUUAGUUCCAAAAAUAGAAAGACAUGCAGAGACAAAAAUGGAAAUCUGUUGUGGAUGUACUCUAUCGAAAAUAAAAUCUGUUGUGGAUACUCUGUGCUUUGAUUUCCAGCUAAUAGACGGUGACCACGUCAGCUUUGGAUCAGGGUAAUGGCUGAUUAAGAUUCUUGGAUAAGAGCUAGAUGUAUUAGUUCCACCUCCAUGUAAUGUACGUAUAUGUACACAAAGAAGUUAAUUAACUAGCAAAGAAUAGUAGAAUACGUAUAUGUACAUAAAGGACUAAUACCAAACUAACAUGCAACUCAGGUGAUCCCAUAUUAAUUAUAACGAGUUCGUUUUAUAAUUCGAGUCGUUACAUCUGUUUGAAAGACUAAGUUUAUCAUGUAAUAAUUUGAAUCAAACAAAUGAAGUAAACGGAUCAAUGAACACUGGUUAUUAAUGCAUGAUUGUGAUGUAUAUAUGUUACUGAAAUGGACAAGCAGUGUUUCUGUAUAAGCUUAAGUUUUCGCCAGAUCAAUUGAAGGAGGCCGAGCAUGUCGCCUAAAUUAACUGCAGUACAUAGACGAUCUGUUCCCAUUCAGUGUGAUGAUGUUCAUCUUCAGAAUGGAAAUCUGAAGUUGUGAAGCAAAAUGUAGUUUAUGAGAGCCCCAAGAAUGAUCCAAUGCACGAUGGCCUCCUGAAAGUCGAAAACUGAAGUAGAAGUAGAAAUUUUCUGUUAACUUUAUACCUACAAGUUUAAUAAUUUCAUGGACGCAUGAAUCAAGAGAUCAGUGAAAGAACAUUGUCAUCAUACUUUCUGCAAGCUAUCCUCAAAUUGGAUUACCUAUACAUGAAUUCAAGGCAUCAGCCAAAAGCCCAAAAGUAGUAUUGCAUAUAGGUUGUCCAGCUUCCAUGUUUGUCAUAAGGAUCCUCAAAUCAGCAUUAGUGGCUUUGAUUGAAUUUCAUAUAUCGCUUGUCAAUUUGUUGAUGCAUCUAAUUAAGUCGGAGAAAUUAUACAAGAUGUGUCAGAUAUUUCCAUGAUUUCUGGCAAUGCUGCUUAGAGCUGAUUCAUUAACUUGUGAGUUAAUAAAAGAUGAUUGAGCUUGUAUAGUUGUAUAUAUGGGUGAAGAUUUUACAUAAAAUUUUUAGUACAGAGCAAUUUAAGCAAACAGAUCUGUUGAUAUAUUCCUUUCCAUCGACAAACAAGUUACAUCAACAGAAACACACUUGAAAGAAAUCCCAUUUACAACAGUUGCAAACACAGAUGAUUCGAUCGAUCACUUCUCUCCCAAGCUUUCAAACCUCACUUUCCGGGAACAAAGUUGGUGGCAUAGGACCAAGCGUUGUUGUUAACAGGGUCAGCCAAGUGGUCAGCUAGGUUCUCAAUCGGUCCCUUUCCGGUAACAAUAGCUUGUACGAAGAAUCCGAACAUGGAAAACAUGGCCAGUCUUCCGUUCUUGAGCUCCUUCACCUUAAGCUCAGCAAAAGCCUCAGGAUCGUCUGCAAGCCCCAAGGGGUCAAAGCUCCCACCGGGGUACAACGGGUCUACUACCUCACCGAGAGGCCCUCCGGCAAUUCUGUAGCCUUCAACUGCACCCAUCAAGAUCACUUGUGUUGCCCAGAUUGCCAAAAUGCUCUGAGCAUGAACUAAGCUUGGGUUUCCCAAGUAGUCUAGUCCACCCUCACUGAAGAUCUGAGCUCCUGCCUUGAACCAAACAGCUUCUCCGAACUUGACUCCAUUACGAGCUAGGAGUUCAGGGAAGACACAUCCUAGAGCACCGAGCAUGGCCCAUCUUGAAUGGAUGACCUCGAGCUCACGGUUCUUAGCAAAGGUCUCGGGAUCAGCUGAGAGCCCAGCUGUGUCCCAGCCAUAGUCACCGGGAAACUCUCCGGUGAGGUAAGAUGGAGCCUCCCCGGAGAAUGGCCCCAAGUACUUGACACGGUCUGGGCCAUACCAAGGGCUGCCAGACGACACAGCCUUGGACUUGGCUCCAGUUUUGCGCAUGGUGAUUCUGCCCUCACCGAAGAUGUUAGAUGCAGCUGGGCUAAGCUGCACAGCUUGGCCAGCUAGAGAAGGAGAAGACAGAGCCAUUGUUGAAGCAGCCAUUUGAGAAAAAUGAAUCUAGUCUGGUUAGACUUGGAUAAGGGGAUGUGAUGGCCGUUUGUUUUGUGAUGGUAAGAGACCUUGGUGGGCAUAUUUAUAGCUCUGGUGAUAGGGAUUAUGCAUUAUCUGUGUGAUAUCUUUAUCUCUAACUCUCAUUGGUGAAAAUGAAGUUCAAAGAUUUCCAAUAUAUCUUCCUGUGAUUCUUUCCAGUUGGCUUCAUAUGUUCCACAAGUUUAGUUCAGAAUAUCUGAGAGACAAUGAAGAGAUUAUCUCAUUGUUUUCAUUUAUCUUAGAGUUUAGAUACUUUCAGCUGUGGCCGUAGUAUUUCCAAGUAAUGACUUAUUCAUUUCCAGUUGGCUUCAAAUUUUAUGUGGUGUUGAGAGCAUAGUCAACAUAUGCUUUAAUCUCAGUCCAAGAGAUUUUUGGUAGGCAAUUGGUAAGUACAGCCUUCCGAGACUAAUGACACCAAAAGAUUAUAGGAUAGAGGGAAAAUAUUUGCAGGUGAAAAUUUGUGAACACUGAACUAACAGGAACUUGGUAUUUCAAGUGUCACAAUUUGUUGCCACUGAAUUUGUGUCAUUUUUGAUAUAAAUGUGCAGAACACAUCCAAAAUAUCAUGAUUAUAAAAUCAUGCUAUUUACUUCUGAGAUACAAAUCUGAACUGGCAUGUUUUUUAUGCAGGGAAGUAGGAUUCUGAUAUUGAACUACUAGUAUACUGGAGCCCUAUGUUCUUUAGUCAAAAGAGAACUGAACUACAAAGUGCUCGAUUCUCAAGUGCCGAGCCCUACGAGUAAAGAGUGUACAUACUCAUCCUAACCUCGUUUGGCUUCAUCAAUUGAGCGUAAACUAAAUGAUAUAACCUUGUUUUCCGGCACUAAAGCAUAUAGUUAGGUAAAGCAUCUCAACAACAUCAUCAUCAGCUAAAAAAUCUGGAAUUGAUGUAAUAUACAAAGUGACCAAGGCAACUCAUUGUCAUCAGAUUUUUACUGUUAAACAACUACAUGAGUCAUAGCAACUCAAAUAAACUUGUGCUCUACCUUAUAUGAGACUUGCCCGUAACUUACAAAGAUCUAGAAGCAACUCAUGGUCAUAAAGUCAAAUGAACAACAGGAUAAUCAUGGCAACUCAAAUAAGGACUUAGUACUACCACAUAUAUGAGUUCCCCAAACCAACAGAUAUUCUAGCAUAGCUGAGACAUUUGUGAGAUUAUGAUCGAAUUACAAAUCAACACAUUAAAACAAACUCAUUAGCUGACACAAUUCCGACUGAGUUAACAAACAUACCUGUUGGAGUAAGUAACUUAUUUAUAAUGUCGAGAGCAGUCAACACCCCAGAUUCAAGAGGAGUCAGGUAUCCAAUCUUUUGGCAAUGAGGAUUCGAAUAUUCGGAGAAGCAUUGUUCUCUCCUUUCUCCCUAGCUUCCUUGCACCAUAUCCACGGAAAACACCAAGCUUACGUGCCUUUUUCCCUUCUUCCACUGCUCUUUUUCUCACGGCGACCAAUAAAUCUGUCCCUUGGGGAUCAAUGUUGUUCUCUUGUUUUUCACUUCCACAUUUCUCUUGGUUCCCUGUAAUUGAACUUGCGCUAUCAUCUGCUAAUUUGUUGGACUGAUGCUUGUUUUCUUCAUCAGCGUUAUCUGCUUCUCCAUGGAUACCCUCAUCACAAUCUGGGCUAUUGCUUCCCCACCAUCUAUUGGAUGCAGUUGAUAAACCUUCAGAUGGGAAUCCAGACUUAAACUCUUCCAAGGUUGUACCUUUGGUCAAGCUUAACGUGAGAAGAUUGUGAGGCCGUCCAGUCUGAACAUUUUUGCUUCCUUGCUGAUGCAAAUUAUUAGAGGCCAUGACACCUGGUGGUUUCAACUGCAAUACUGGGUAUUGGGAAUCACUGCAUUUAAAAAUGAAGGCCAAAGAAUAUGAAAGGGAACAAUGAAGAAAAAAGGUUCACCAGGAACAUUUAAUGUCAUGACCAAUCUGUUGGUCAAUAUGUCUAUCACGAUUAAGUUGGUUCAUACAAAACAAGUAGAAUGCACCAAAAGUAAUGUCACAGAGGGGAAUAUCAAAGAUGACUAACAAUAAACAAUUAAGAGAUUAAACACCACCAGGUAGCAGCCUUAUAUUAGUAUUUAGUUAUGAUUCUCAGACUCUUCUUCACAUAUAGUCAAAUUUACAUUAACUUAUAAGGUUUAAUUCCUAUCUGCUUCAUCACUGAUCUAAAGACAUGAUUUUUAUGUGAUUUAUUUUCAAUAUCCAACAAUUUUUCCGACCCAUGUGUAAUUGGUUUCAGUAUAUCAUUAGAUGUGCAGCAUAAUCAUCUUUUCUCUUUGGUUAAGUAGCCCUAACCAAAAAGCAACCAACUCUAUAUAAAUUCAGGCCUAACUACGAGUCAUCAAGAAGAUAGAGUAUAUGCAGUCAGGAGGAUAAGCAAGCAUGUGGAAACCGAGUCCGGGCGUGUCCCAAGUGAGCAAGGCAAUCAACAGAUAAGCGCAAUGCAAAACGCUCUCCUAACCUUCAAGCAAGAGUCUUGGGCACCAUAAUCUCUAAAAUAGCAUCUCAAACACCCGUAAGCUCUUCCUUUCAAAUGCAGGAUUUCAAAAGAUGUCACCCUUGGCUAUUAUAUCAAAUACAGGACCAAGAGUAGCCGAAGCUAGAUUUGCGAAAAAGAUCAGAUCUUUAUGUACCAAUUUUUGGCAUCUAACUUAGUUACUUGUAUUCUUCUGCAGAGAAAUUGCAUUCUCUACAAACAUGCUGCAAAUUUCACUCCUAAUCUAUGGACAUCGAACCCAAAAUCGUGAGCAAACCUUUUCAUCUUUUCUAGAGUAGAUUUCAAUAUCAUUUACCAACACACACAAGGGCAUCUACAUAUAUACAUAGAACCAAUACUAGGAUACAAAAAUCACUAAUAUAAAAAGCACAGACCUUUUGGAAGUAAAUUUGUUGCUUCCGAAAGGCCAACCCCAGAAGCAUGAAUUUGAAGUCUCUUUCGGGAAUCAAACGUAAGACAGAAAAACGCAAAGCACAGGAAACAGAAUAACAGAGUAUCUCGCUUACGAUUGGGCUGUUGUUUUUGUUGUUGUGGUGGCUGCUGCUCUAGUGUGGCUGCUGCCUUGAGCUCUCCAUUUCAGACACCUAAAAGUGGAGAGCUCAGAAACGAAGUGACUUUCAUAUGGGUUAAAGACAAAACUGUAUGUUCUAUAUUGUUUAAGCAAAUCGACACGUGGCAGAAUCGUGUUUCUUAGUACAUGCUUUCUACGGUCAGGAUUCGAAAUUGGUAAUUUAUUUUCGUUUAAAACCUAAAAUUGCUGUUAAGCAUCACUGUAAAACAAGACCGUCAUGUCCUCCUAAGGCACUACAAGCUUGCCACUGCCCAAGGUGGUGGCUAGCAAGUUUUUGAACCUUUAUGUGUAUCUAAUUUUUUUUGUUUUUAAUCUCUUUUUUUCACACAUUAGCUUGGUACAGUGACCUAAUACUUAGACCUCGUUUGGUUCAUAAAAAAUAACUAUCAACAAAGAUAUAUAAGACUAUAAGUCACUCUACUCGAUCUGCCCAUAAAAAAUAAUUCGUAUGAUGCUAUAGAAUUUUCACAUGAAUUUAUCUUUCCUUCCGGCAAGAAUCAUUGAAAUUUGUAGCCCUCCGACUGAAUGCUUGGUUGAAGAGCAACCGUGUUUGGAACUCGGAGACAAACGGGAACCAUGACAAAAUGGCAACAGGCGCGAAGACUGCCACUCCCAUUAUAUAAUCAUAUUCUCUUCCCAGCUCCUUGAUUGAUUCCCAGAAUCCUACUCCCUUAAGCAUUGGCCUGCAUGCUUGCCCGAUCUUGAAAGGAAAAAAUAUAAAUGGUUUUCAGUAAAUAUAAUGCAUUAGAAACACUCGUGAAAAAAAGCUACUGUUAAGAGAACCAAGUUACUCCCUAUUUAUUUUGGUACAUUCUGAUCACUGAGGUCAGAAUAAGUGUACUAGUAUGAUAAACGAAAUGAGAAAUCUGAAGGCACUAAGUGCAGAUAACCAGAGACAGAAAAGUUUGACUUACAAGAAGAAGUGCCCACCCUGUGGGCAAGAAGGCAAGGAUAGAGGCAAACAGAUCUGAAAUAGUAAGGCCACAAACUACAAAUAGGACAGUCAUGACUGACAUGAAGCCAAGGAAAAGAAGCGCUUUCAGAAUUCUGAACAUGAGCUGAAAGUCGGCACCAAAUCUUCGUCUAACCAUUGACACCAUCUGACAGAAGUGUAGCAAAUAAAUAAGCAACAUCAUUCAUUUGAUACUAUAUAAAGUUCCCAGGAAAAAUAUGAUACUGAUAAAAGUAGAAAAGGGUAUGCACAAACUGUCAUGUUAUCUAUAACUUGGUCAGAACCUGAACAGCUUAUUCUUCAAAAACAUUCAUAACUUACAAAGUUUAAUGCUUUAUUUGUGAUUUUCAUUUGCAUACCUUUAAGACGAGAAGCACUGUUACCAUAACCACCCAAGAAAGUCCAUAAACCUACACACAAAUUGAAAAGGUAGUCGGUUCUGAAUGUUAAAAGCAACAAGAGACAACGUACUCGUAUAUGUUUGAACAUAAAUACUACCAGUGAACUCUUGCUGAAAUGAGCUAUAUCAAGGUGGUAAACAAUCCCAUAUUGGAAAAAGAAGAAGCGACAUGCAAGCACUAUCUCAAGAAUUCUUCCACGGAUAGUAGUGUGCUUGAGGUCUUCCUGCUCUUCAUCCCACCAUGAUUCCCAACUUUUGUCAGGUGAGAUCCCAAUACCACCACGAUUUCCCAUCCACCUCUUCCAAUCCGCCCAAUCAUCUACAGUUUUUUGCCAGUCAAAGCUGGAUGGAUUGAAGAUAAAAGGAGCAAACAACCAGGAAGCAACCAGAAACCACAUGGAGAACGUGAUGAAAAAAUACAGAUUUGAACUCCUAUAAGCAUUCCCGUAGACUCCAUAUACAAUCAGCAGAAUCAACAGCUCCAACCCUUUCACAAAGUGACUUCUUGAGUACAGCCUGUAGUUAUCGGCAAACUUUGCAUGAAAAACAACAAAACCACGGCCAGUUGGUCUAUAUUUGGAUCCACCAUGUAAGAUUGUCCUUCCGUAGUAAUGUGCUUUUGUUCCUAAUUGGAAAGUGAAGAAAACAGAGGCCAGCUGCAACUGCAUGAUGAUGAAAUCACCCAAGGCAGUGCGGAAUCCUUUCUCCAGACCAAUUUCCAUAACCAUGGGGAGGACCAGCAACAACCCCAGUUGAAAGACAGACUGUGUAGCCAGAGCUUCUUCAAAAGCCUUGGUCUGAUGUAUGGCUGGGCUAUCCAGGAUCUCACUUUCCAAUCCACUCAUAACCAUAUAUAGACGUCCAUAUAAAAACACAUAGACAGUCAGCACAGUUACCUGAAACGAAAUAGUAUCUGUAUCAAAUAGAAUUACAUUACCAAAACACUGCACUCAAAGAACAUCUGCCCAGAAAAGUAAAACCAAAGCGAACCAAAACAAAUCCUCAUAUUUAACUUGUUUCCUAUUCAAAACUAAGAUUCAGUCAAUUUGAUUGUAUAGUACUAUAGUAGGAUGACUUCUUUAUCAAUGACACCAUUAAGUUAAAAAAGAAAUACACUAAAGAAAAAUUGUAUUACAAAAUAAAUAGUGGUAGGCACUAAGAUCAACAAGCAGUUGGCCUGAAGCUGUCAUUAACAUGUGAAAUGGGUAGCAUCACUAGCAUGCAUAAUGGUUUUACAGUCAUUUGAGUAUCCUAUCCCUUCACAUGAAUCAACACCAUAUAACCUAGUACUUUAGAGAAAGGUGAUUUAAUACAGUGAUUGAUUAUAAACUAACAUAUUCUCUAUAACUUACUUUUUUUUAAUUCAAUAAUAUUCUCUAUAACUUAUUGAUAUAAGGUAUAUACUAUGAAACAACCAAGUCAACUAAUGAAAAGAUGAUUGGUUUGGAUAACAUACCAUGCUACUAAAAUAGAACCCAACUGUUGUGAAGUAAAAGGACAGCAUUCUAUAGAAAUCAAACCGAUGGCCAAGCCUAUAAACAUCACGGCUAAGUGUCUGCUCUCCAUUCCCAUUUGCAACUUUAGACUCGAAAAGUGAUAUCUGAUUCAUUCCAACAUCACGCCCCUUGCCUACUUGGAUAUACUCAUGAUGUGUUACAAAUCCCCCACGCAGAACAGAAUUGUACCCUGAAGACAUACAAACAAUUAGUCAAAAACAUUCAAUACUUACUAGACAGGGAUCUUCUGGUGAAUAUAUGAAAAAUUUACCUGAAAAUAUAUUCUCGCUUAAGUUAAUUACUUUCGAUGCUUUGCUUAUGCCACCCCUUGUUAUGUGGAAGAGUCUGUCAAAAAUAUCCGGAUGGCCAUAAUGAAACCGUACCCUGUCAUGGUAGAAUGUUAUUAGAUGGAUGGGUACUUGAACGGUAAUAGUAUAAACAGGGGGAAAAUGACAAAGAAAGAAGAUGAUGCUAGUAGUAACUCUAGAUUGGGACUGAGCUGUAGCUCAAGUUGAACGUAAAAUAUAAGGCAUACCUCAGAUUUGCCAAAAUUCGUUGGCCUAUAGUGACAAAACUAGUCUCUUGAUUGGACAUGAACGAAGCAAGUGAUGAAACACUGUAGAUCAGAGGUUGAACAUAAGAUAAAUAGAAUUAACUGAAACAGUGCAAAUCUGCAGAAAAUAUUAUACACAAUCCCAAUCCUAGCAGUCAUAAAGGCCCAAUAUACGAGGCGUUGGAGGUUCGACGCCGGUGGUGGGGAGACAUGGCAAAGCAACUUCGAGUUUGGGCCGGAAUGAGGAUUGGGUUUCUGCUUGGUUUGGUCCAUUGGGCCUGGGUGAAGAAAAUCAGUCCACUUCGGGCAAUUAUUUUAACAGCUUUAUGUUAUUUUCUUUUAUUUACUGCUUUCAAUAAGGAGAUGUGGGCGUCGUCCCGGGGUUGGCACCUUGCGUGCCUCGUUUGUCCUAGGUAAGUUGCAAGUUUCUUGUUUUGUCAAAUGGUCGCAACCUUCUAGUGGCAAGAUGAAACAUAAGGUCGCCGGAUAUGAUUCCGUACGGCAACAUAGUAAAAAAUUUGCACUAUUAGUCAUCAUGAUGCUUGUCCUUAAUACAAUUAUCUUUCCGUUAUGUCACCGCUUUACCAAAGCAAAUAGAGUUACCGAUGAUGCAUUCUUUGCUAACUGGUACAUGUUGAAAUACGUUAUUCUUUGUAAUUUGGGGUUUAGACUUUAUGUCCCCUUUUUGUAUUCUAUGGUUUUAUCAAUCAAGACUUAAGGACAGCCGUACCGGCUCUUUUUCCAAAAAAAAGAAAAAGAAAAAAAAAAGCUCAAUAUAUAUUGUGAAGAGGUAUAUGAAAAGGCUGACCUUCCAGUAAAAAUAUGUUCCCUUAGACCCAAUAUUGUAGGUUUCCGCUGCCCCCGUCGAGGCUUCCGGAAUUCCUCCAAUACAUUUCUCAUUUUGAAAGCUUCCUCAAAAUAAUUAUCCUGUAUAAAAUUUAUUCAAAAAGACAGUAAAUAUACGAAAACACAGUUAACCGCUUUCUCAUUUUGCAUAACGGUGCAAUGAUUGCCACCUGAUUCAUGUCAAUGGUUUGCAGGGCUUCUCCACGAGUAAAGACGAUGGCAUGGUUUUGAUUUUCAGGUCUGCCUUCACCAAUUUCUGUAGGAGAACCUGGAAGCUUGAUGCGGUAUAUUUCCUAGCAAAGAAAUAAGAUUCCUCAACUGAGUUAUUGACUAUUAGCCACAUAUUCUGCUCAUAUGAGACAUUAAGCUCAACAAAGGUAGGUAAAGGCUCUUCAUCAUUCCAUUACAAGUAUGGAUUCCUCGAGAAUUGCUACUCUAGAUGGUACUGAGAUAACAUACAAGUGCACAGAUAUAUGAUGUUAUUUCCUUCCUUACCUCAUCCCAUUUGUCCCCUCCCUUGACCAGCACAGAAAAAUAAAUCUUUUGGGAUUUUCCAUUCACUGUCUCCUCUCUUGUAUCUAUGUAAGCAACCCAUAGAGAAGGAUACCUACAAGACGGUUUCAUGUGUAAAGAUCAUAUCAAUUAUUCAUAUUACAAAGGGAACUACAUAGUGUUCAUAUUAUGGUGAUAACUCACGUUAACAUCAGCUUGAGAAUAUUUGUGUAACAACUUUUGUCACGACUUUCACUGGAAUUCUUCUGUUCACCGUAGAUUUGACAAGAAACUACAUAAGUGAACUUCAAAUCUGCCAGAGCUUGUGCCCGAUCAAGAAUAUCCUUCUCAUCAAUUUGACUUAAUAUCUGGGCUGGGUAGCCUCCAUAAACACCUGCAAAUAUCCGUUUUCCACAUUAUUUGCUUGUAAAGAUUUUGGAACUAAAAUCAUGAACGUCAAUCUGGAGUUGAAACACAUUUUUGUCAAAGGACCACUAACCAUCUCCUGCUGUUUCCAGGAUACAUUGAAGGUCUAGAGCCUUCCUAUAGUACAUCAUUCCUCUCACUAGCAGAAAAUACAGAUAAAAUGUUAAGAAUUGGACAUGGUACUUGUAUAAGAUACAAAGUUACAGAUCAUGCAGACCUGUUCUAGAAAGUGUCUGUCCCCUGUAAGAUACCCACUGGCGAAGUAACUCCGACUUGUCCUUGUUAGAGUACUCAUUCUUAGGUUCAUUUAUGCGGUCCUGGAAAUUUCUCCAUUCAUCUGUUGGUAGUCAUAGUUGGUAGACAGGUAUCAGUUCAAAUAAAUUUCAAACAACGAAAAAGAAUAAUCUAGAAAUGAGACUGAAAUGCACCAGGAUAUAUCUUCUGCAGGUAGAACAAGAUUGAGAUUCCAUCCUCAUUUUCCUUGUUGAGUUCAUCAUCAGAAUACAGAACAUCUUCUUUGUAAUAAGGAGUCAGAACACUGAAUCAUAAAUCAGGAAAAAGUGAGAUGUUAGACAGGCAACUAUUAAAAUUUUAGAAGACCACUACAAUCACAUGGUUGACAAAUUAAAAUACACAUUCAUUCAUUGAAAAUAGAUCCCGAAGCAUACAAGUACUCCUCCAAAAUGAAAAGAGAAACAUAUCUUGACUACAAUUCCAUUAAGUCAGUAGGAAAGCUUUAGUGUGUUCCUCACCUUUGACAUUAUUGCAGUAAUAUGUUAGUUUCUCUUUGUUUUUUAUUAUGUUGUUGUAGUUCACUAGCAACAUAAUAGUUCCCACUGACAACUGACAAACCAAGAUUCCAUAAUGACUGACCUAAAGGAGAGCAUGUCACGAACUUUGGGAGCAUUUGGCAUGUUCAUGAAUAGAGAGUUCGCAAAGAAAGUAAUGCGCCUGCGAGCAUCCAAGUUUUCGGGCACAUUGAUGGCAGAUUCCUUGACGGUCAAAAGCAAAUGAAGCCUAACAACCUAUGUACAUGUAGAAGAAAAAAUAAGACCAAAAGAUUUUGGAUCUUCAGUUAUUGUCUUUGACACAAGAAUAUCUGCCAAAAUUACCUUCUCUCUCCAAGAUGGAUUUUGUGCAAGGUAUAUGUUGAUUUUUUCAAACCUUUGCUCCUUCUUGACAUUUUGACCCUCUGUGUAGUGAGCUGCUUCAAGAAUUCUACAAAGAAAGAAGGACACCUAUUAACAUAUGGAAACCAAAGGGGCUCAAUUGGUGGUCAAAUAUAACAAUAUUUUUUACUGCCUCCAGUAUGCAUUUAUUCUCAGUCCUUACUGAUGGCCAUUGAUCAUUACUUCCUGUGUUAUAAUCUCCAUGAUAUCUUGAAGGACAUUGAUUAUCUGACGCAAGUAAUUAUCGACAUCCUCAUCUCCAGCUAGCUGUCAACAUACCAAUUUAGUAACUCAAACAUGACACUGUCUAAACAAUAUCUAUCAGUUCAUUGCUGAAAGCAGCAGUAAACAAUUGACCAAACGUUGAGGGAAGUAUAUUACCAAGAGUUUAAGAANNNNNNNNNNNNNNNNNNNNAAGUCCUUCGUCCUGCCAGGUAAGUGGUUAUAGUUAGCCUUAAGCUAUACAAACUGAAAGGUUAUAAGUCAUAUUAAAUAGAAAGAAAGAAUUACAAUAAUUAGUAAGUUACGAAAAUGUUUGACUUUGGUAUGCAAAAGAAUUUGUAUUUGGUAUGGAAAACAUUACACAAAGCAAAAUUAACUGAAUCCUAUCCACAAGAGUGCAGUGUGAAAACACUGGAGAUGGAUAGUACCACCAAGUGUUUCUUCUUUUUGGCAUCCUUAAUUUCUGAUGAUGGCAUAAGCCGAUCACUGAAAGCUGAAGGCACAGACUUAAAUCUGGACCGCAACAUCCCAAGUGUUCGUAUCUGAGAGACAACAAAUGAAUAAUCCUCAAACCCAAGCUGAGACAGAUCUAAAACACAUAUUCUUAAUUGUGAAUGAUAAUACAUGUAUAUAUACAGGAAAACAUAUAUGUAAAUCUGAGUGAGAAUAUGCAACUGACCUCCCCCAAAUGGCUGAAGGCUCCUUGAAUCCCACCGAACAGAGUAGAAAAUAUUGCAUACCAUAUUUGUGCAUCCAUAAUGUAUACCUAUGUACAAGAUAAAUCAUUGCAAAGUGGUAAAUGGGAUAAUAGUGUUCACAAACCGAGGAUUUCACUCGAACAAAUUCUUCAUUGAUUCACUUACUAAGACAAUUGGAGCCCAUAUUGCAAUGACAACACCAAUAUUAUGAGUUGCUGCAUUAGUUCCAAAUUUGAGUUUGUAGUUAGACUUGCAGAUAAAACUAAAGUAAAACAUAGUAAAACAUAGCUCAAUAAGUUACCAUUAGGAAAUAACUCAUGCCAUUGAUAAUUAGUGAUGGGCAUAUCCAUUAUCAACUUUGUUGGUGCAACAAGCGGCGAUAUCUAUUUCCAGAUUAUACAAAUUCAUGUCAGGUAAAAUAAAAUACAGUAAAAUAAACUCAGUUCAUACGUAUCCUCGAAGGAAAAACUUAUGUUACAGUAAAUGAAACUUGGUUCUAAUGAUUUAGCAGAAGUACCAAACAAGUUUGAAUGAAAUUUAGCAGUAAUAAAGCAAGAUUUGAGGAAUUUGAGAGAAAUAACCUCCACAUAAUAGCUGAAUGCAAGCUUGCUGAUUAGCAGCAUGAUCCAGAACAAUGUAUAUCUGAUUAAACAAAAGGAUAAAUCAGUCAUAUGAGAAAAAUAUGUAUUAUGAGAAAAAAUAAGUACCAUAAAUCAAAUCAAAAGUAAUGACGAAUGACUGAGUGACUUGAAAAAUUAACGAUAUAUCAUAUAUAACUCCAGAGACAUGCAGAAAAACAGCAAAGGGACCACACACAGUAUAUGCUUCUCUCAAAAGAUGAAGAAUAAAGAAGAAUUGAAAUUUGUUUAGUACUUGUGGUUUGAAUUCGAAAUCUGUUUAGCCCUCGUGGUUUUAUUUUAAUCUGAAUAGUUCUUAAAGUUAGGAUUUUUUUAUCCAAAUAGUCCUUAUGGUUUUAUUUUAAUCUGAAUAGUCCUUAGAGUCAUGAUUUUUCAUCCAAAUAGUUAUUCUGAUAAUUUUCUCAGUUAAAGGCCAUAAAGACUAUUUAGAUGAAAAAUCAUGACUUUAAGAACUAUUCAGAUUAAAAUAAAACCAUAAAGACUAUUUAGAUGAAAAAUCUUAACUUUAAGGACUAUACAGAUUAAAAUAAAACCAUAAGCACUAAACAGAUGUCGACUUCAAACCACAAGAACUAUACAAUAUUUUACUCAAUAAAGAACGAAUGUAGAUUGUUUUUCGAUCUCUUACUUCAGCAGUGAGAAGACAUCCUCAUGCAUUCCUCUUCCGACAUACAGUUUUGGCUGCAAUAUGGCCACCAAGAAGAGUCAUAUGAGCCUAGCCAAAACGCAGAAAAAGAGUCUAUGAAAUUACAAGAGAACAUGAACUUUGGUUAGACCAAUGAGAGAAACUUGCCUGAGCCCACCACAUAAAAAGAGUGACAAUGCGCCAGUUGGAACGCUCUACGUGUCUCCGUAAAGGUGGUAGAACAAAUAGCAUAGCAGCCAAUAUAUUAGGAACCAUAUAGAUUGCAACAGCAUAAUUAUAAAAUGAUUGAUUACUGAAGAAUUUCAGAAGCCCUGUAGGAUUCUGCAUAGAACUUGAAUAACCAAUAGGCAGAACCACAGCCCAGACAACAGCUACUGCAAAUUUCAAAAGGUAUCGUAGUAUUUGAGUGAAUUCCAAGCUCUUCCAUGCAUUCCAACUGAGAAUCAUGUCCAAAGUGGCUGCAGAACAUAAUAGAAAAGAGGACAAAGUGAAAAGGCAGAAAAAUUAAGGAAAAGGAUGGCAUGCCAUUGACUAGAGUUAUGAUAUACAUUAUAUGGAAUUAUGGAUGCCAAGGUCUCCCACCAUAAACCAGUUUUCAAACAAACUUAAAGAUUUAAGAUAGCACCAGUACCUUGUAAUAAAUUCAGGAAAGCGUAUGUCAUGAAGAUGCUUAACACACUUCUAAAGACAUCCGCAUCAAAUAUUGAAGUGACAGAUCCAGAAGGACUCCAUGCAACAAUAAUCAUAGCCUGAUAAUCAGAACAUAAUGAAUGUAGGAUAAUAAACCAAGCCUUAGGUAAAUAUUUUUAACUCCUACAUAGCAGUAACUUUGUUAAGUGGUUUAGUUUUAUCUGGAGUCUUCCACUUAUGGAGACUUCUAGUUUUUGUGUAUUUUAAAUUGGAGCAACUUGUGCAACUUGGUUGCUCUAGACCUUUCGUUGUUGUAUAUAUAUAUAGCUGCUGAUGUACUAAGUUUUGGUUGAAUGAACAGAAGAACAAUUCUUGCUCCAGAAAAACUCUUCUCAUCUGUGUGUGUGUGUGUGAUUGAUUUGCUGUAGUGUUAUUCCAUCUGGUGUUUGUAUUGCUGGUGUGAUAUUGUUAGUUGCUGUUCAGUUUCUACAUCUGGUAUCAGAGCAGGUACGCUCAAAUUGAAGAAGUGUAGAGAUUGAUGGCGAAUUGGGGGAAUGAUUUUCCUCAAUGUCCAGUUGGGAAAUUUGACGGGAAAGGAAACUUCCAGCAUUGGAGAUCGCAGAUGGAACUCUUCUUCAAAAUCAUGGAGUACACAGAGGUGGUGAUCAAUGGAUUUACAGAUCCAGGAGACCAAGCAAAUCUCACACGAGAUCAAAGAGAAUAAUUGGUUCGAAAUAGGAAGAAGGAUUGCAGAGCCCUGAUGUAUAUAUUUGGAGCAAUUGAUUCUGAAGUUUAUGAGAAGAUUGCACAUGUUACAACAUCGAAGGAGGCAUGGGAUUGUUUGAUCAAUACUUAUGUUGGGCGAGAUAAAGUGAAGAAGGUGAGAUUGCAGACUCUACGGCGACAGUUUGAGCUUCUUCAGAUGGAGAAGAAGGAAAGCAUCUCUGAAUACUUUGCAAGAACAUUGGCUAUUGUCAAUCAAAUGAAAGCCAAUGGGGAGGAUAUCAAAGAGCUGCAGAUUGUGGAGAAGAUUCUUCGAACCUUGACGGAGCGGUUUGAAGGAAAAGUCACAGCCAUUGAGGAGUCACAAGAUCUCAAUGCUAUGACGGUGGAUGAUUUAAUGAGUUCCUUGCAGGCCUAUGAACAAAGGCUGAAUGAGAAGUUAGAGAUGGUGAUUGAAGAAGCAUUGCAGACUCAAUUAAGCCUCAAGAAGGAAAGAAAUUGGUCACCACGUGGUGAGUCAAGCUCAACUCAAAGGAAUCAAAGUUCAAGUUACAAGAGAGGUUCACAUGGCAGAUUUGGAGCAAGAAGAGGAAGAGGAAGGGGCUUCCAUUGGAGUCAAGGACGAGAUAGAUCGAAUGUCCAGUGCUUUAAUUGUCAUGGUUAUGGUCAUUACAAGAAUGAGUGCAACUUGAGAAGGCCGGAGAACAAGCAGUUUCAUGCCAAGUUUGCAGAAGACAAUGAUAUCAAUGAGGAGACUUUGUUGAUGGCUUUUAGUGCAAUGAGUAAUGGUGAACAGAUCACAUGGUACUUGGACACAGGUUGCAGCAAUCAUAUGUCCGGCCACAAAGAGUUGUUCAUUGAGCUGAAUGAGUCAAUACGAGCUGAGAUAACAUUUGGGAAUGCUGCAAGGAUGCCGGUUAAAGGAAAAGGCAAGAUCUUUAUACAGUUGAAGAAUGGGAUGUACAACACCAUAUCAUAUGUAUAUUAUGUGCCUGGCCUUAAUCACAACUUGCUUAGUGUGGGGCAAUUAUCAGAGAGGGGGUAUGAUAUGCGCAUCUACAGAGGAGUUUUCACCAUCAAAGAUCCUCAACGGAAACUAAUAACAGAGGUAACUAUGACUCCUAAUCGCUUGUUUCCAUUACUUAUCCAAUAUGAUAAGUUACCUUGCUUUAGUUCUAUUACAAAUGGUGAUAAUUGGUUGUGGCAUAUGCGUUAUGGGCAUUUAAAUUUCAAUAGCUUGAAUUUCCUUGCAAGAAAAAGUUUAGUAUCUGGAUUGCCCCCUAUUCAUGUUCCGAACCAAGUUUGUGAGACUUGUGUUCUUGGAAAGAAGCAUAGAGAUAGCUUUCCGAUAGGAAAGGCCUUGAGAGCUAAUAUGCCCCUUGAAAUUAUACACUCAGACUUGUGUUCUGUUGAGGUUCCUUCAUAUGGAGGUGCCAGAUACUUCGUCACUUUUAUUGAUGAUUUUAGCAGGAAAGCAUGGGUGUAUGUUUUGAAGAACAAGUCUGAGGCAUGUGAUACGUUUAAGGCCUUCAAAGCUUAUGUUGAAAAGCAGAGUGGAGAAAAGAUAAAGGUGUUGAGAACUGAUCGAGGCACAGAAUAUGUAGUUUGUGAUGACUUCUUGAGGAAAAAUGGUAUUAAACAUCAGCUCACAGCAAGUUAUACGCCUCAGCAAAACGGCGUAGCGGAGAGGAAAAAUAGAACCAUUAUGGAUAUGGUGAGAUGCAUGCUGAAAUUGAAAAAUUUGCCUAAGUAUUUUUGGGCAGAAGCUGUUAGUUGCGCAGUUUAUAUCCUGAACAGGUCUCCUAGUAGAAGCACUGGUGGAAUUACUCCGUAUGAAGUGUGGAGUGGUAAGAAGCCCAACAUUCAUCAUUUGAGGGUAUUUGGUUGCAUCGCAUUUGCUCAUGUUCCAGCUCAAAUAAGGAAGAAGCUUGAUUGUAAAGCUGAAAAGUGCAUUUUUAUUGGCUAUAGCACGGUGACAAAGGGGUACAAGCUUUUCAAUCUGGUGACGAAGAAGGUGAUAAUUAGCCGAGAUGUCACUUUUGAUGAGCAAAAUGCGUGGAAUUGGAGUUCAAAAGAAAAAGAACCAACAACAUUCAUUCGAUUGGAGGAUGAAUCAAUUGAAGAAGGUCAGUUGGUUGGUGUUCUAGAAGAGUCUCCAGCAGUAGAAGUUCUAGAACCUGAGUCUCCAGUAGCAGCAGUUGAAGUUCCAGAAGCUGAGCCUCCGCUAGAAGUUGCAACAGCAAGGCCUCAACGUGAUCGUCGUUUGCCACCAUACUUGAAAGAUUAUGAGAUGAAGACCAAAAGGAGAAGCAUAUUAGAUGAAGAUAUUGUCAAUUUUGCUUUGUAUGCAGAUUGUGAUCCUCUUGCCUAUGAUGAGGCUUGUCAACAACAACAUUGGGUCAAGGCGAUGGAUGAUGAACUUCUUGCUAUUGAAAAGAAUGACACAUGGGAGCUCACUCCACUUCCGGAAGGAAAGACAGCUAUUAAAGUCAAAUGGGUGUAUAAGACUAAGUACAAGCCUAAUGGAGACGUGGAUCGUUACAAAGCAAGAUUGGUAGCCAAAGGCUACAAGCAAAAACCAGGUAUUGAUUAUCUUGAAGUUUUUGCUCCUGUUGCUAGGCUUGAUACUGUGAGAAUAGUGAUUUCUCUUGCUGCUUAUAAUUGUUGGAAAAUAUUUCAAAUGGAUGUUAAAUCCGCUUUCUUGAAUGGAACUCUUGAGGAGGAAGUCUAUAUUGAGCAGCCACUUGGAUAUGUGAAGGAAGGUCAAUCGGAGAAAGUAUAUAAGCUGAAAAAGGCUUUAUAUGGUCUUAAACAAGCUCCUAGAGCUUGGUACACCCGAAUUGAUUCCUAUUUUGUGGAGAAUGAGUUUGAAAGGUGUCCAUAUGAGCAUACAUUAUAUGUUAAGACUAAUAUGGAGGGAGAUGUUAUUAUUGUGUGUUUGUAUGUGGACGACCUUAUUAUCACUGGUAAUAAUUCAAAGCUAGUUGGAGAAGUCAGGGAGGCUUUGGCAUCUCAUUUUGAGAUGACGGAUAUGGGGUUGAUGUCGUACUUUCUUGGUAUUGAAGUGGUGCAAACUGAGAAGGGGAUUUUUAUUUCUCAGAGGAAGUAUGCUGGAGACAUUCUCAAGCGUUUUAAAAUGGAGUCUAGCAAUUCAAUCAUGACUCCGGUUGAGCAGAGAUUGAAGUUGAAGAAAGAUGGGAGUGGAGAGUUUGUUAAUCCCACAUGGUAUAAGCAGCUUGUUGGGAGUUUGCGUUACUUGACGGCUACUAGGCCUGACAUCACAUUUGGAGUUGGAUUGAUUAGCAGAUUUAUGGAAGCUCCUUGUCAGUCACAUUUGCAGGCAGCAAAGAGAAUAUUGAGAUAUGUCAAAGGAACUCAAAGUGAUGGAAUUUUCUAUGCAGCUAACUGUGUGAAUGAACUUGUUGGCUAUACAGAUAGUGACUGGGCAGGAGAAGAGAAGGCAAAGAGCACCUCAGGUUAUGUUUUUGAUAUUGGUUCUAGGGUAAUAUGUUGGUCAUCCAAGAAGCAACAAGUGGUAGCUCUUUCAUCAGCUGAAGCAGAGUAUGUUGCAGCAAAUAGGUGUGCAACUCAUGCAAUUUGGCUGCGUCGAAUUCUUCAAAACUUGCAUCAAGAACAGAAGAGGCCUACACCAAUCUUCUGUGACAACAACUCAGCCAUUUCUUUGUCCAAGAAUCCAGUUUUCCAUGAGAGGACAAAGCAUAUCCAUGCGAAGCAUCAUUAUAUUCGAGAUUUGGUGAAGAACAAAGAAAUUGCAGUCCACUACUGUCCUUCUGGAGAACAAGUAGCUGAUAUAUUUACAAAGCCUCUUAAUGCUGCAGCUUUCUUAAAGCUGAAGGAGCUGAUGGGGAUGAUAAAGUUUGAAGAUCUUGGCUUGGGUUUAAGGGAGGCAAUGUAGGAUAAUAAACCAAGCCUUAGGUAAAUAUUUUAACUCCUACAUAGCAGUAACNNNNNNNNNNNNNNNNNNNNNNNNNNNNNNNNNNNNNNNNNNNNNNNNNNNNNNNNNNNNNNNNNNNNNNNNNNNNNNNNNNNNNNNNNNNNNNNNNNNNNNNNNNNNNNNNNNNNNNNNNNNNNNNNNNNNNNNNNNNNNNNNNNNNNNNNNNNNNNNNNNNNNNNNNNNNNNNNNNNNNNNNNNNNNNNNNNNNNNNNNNNNNNNNNNNNNNNNNNNNNNNNNNNNNNNNNNNNNNNNNNNNNNNNNNNNNNNNNNNNNNNNNNNNNNNNNNNNNNNNNNNNNNNNNNNNNNNNNNNNNNNNNNNNNNNNNNNNNNNNNNNNNNNNNNNNNNNNNNNNNNNNNNNNNNNNNNNNNNNNNNNNNNNNNNNNNNNNNNNNNNNNNNNNNNNNNNNNNNNNNNNNNNNNNNNNNNNNNNNNNNNNNNNNNNNNNNNNNNNNNNNNNNNNNNNNNNNNNNNNNNNNNNNNNNNNNNNNNNNNNNNNNNNNNNNNNNNNNNNNNNNNNNNNNNNNNNNNNNNNNNNNNNNNNNNNNNNNNNNNNNNNNNNNNNNNNNNNNNNNNNNNNNNNNNNNNNNNNNNNNNNNNNNNNNNNNNNNNNNNNNNNNNNNNNNNNNNNNNNNNNNNNNNNNNNNNNNNNNNNNNNNNNNNNNNNNNNNNNNNNNNNNNNNNNNNNNNNNNNNNNNNNNNNNNNNNNNNNNNNNNNNNNNNNNNNNNNNNNNNNNNNNNNNNNNNNNNNNNNNNNNNNNNNNNNNNNNNNNNNNNNNNNNNNNNNNNNNNNNNNNNNNNNNNNNNNNNNNNNNNNNNNNNNNNNNNNNNNNNNNNNNNNNNNNNNNNNNNNNNNNNNNNNNNNNNNNNNNNNNNNNNNNNNNNNNNNNNNNNNNNNNNNNNNNNNNNNNNNNNNNNNNNNNNNNNNNNNNNNNNNNNNNNNNNNNNNNNNNNNNNNNNNNNNNNNNNNNNNNNNNNNNNNNNNNNNNNNNNNNNNNNNNNNNNNNNNNNNNNNNNNNNNNNNNNNNNNNNNNNNNNNNNNNNNNNNNNNNNNNNNNNNNNNNNNNNNNNNNNNNNNNNNNNNNNNNNNNNNNNNNNNNNNNNNNNNNNNNNNNNNNNNNNNNNNNNNNNNNNNNNNNNNNNNNNNNNNNNNNNNNNNNNNNNNNNNNNNNNNNNNNNNNNNNNNNNNNNNNNNNNNNNNNNNNNNNNNNNNNNNNNNNNNNNNNNNNNNNNNNNNNNNNNNNNNNNNNNNNNNNNNNNNNNNNNNNNNNNNNNNNNNNNNNNNNNNNNNNNNNNNNNNNNNNNNNNNNNNNNNNNNNNNNNNNNNNNNNNNNNNNNNNNNNNNNNNNNNNNNNNNNNNNNNNNNNNNNNNNNNNNNNNNNNNNNNNNNNNNNNNNNNNNNNNNNNNNNNNNNNNNNNNNNNNNNNNNNNNNNNNNNNNNNNNNNNNNNNNNNNNNNNNNNNNNNNNNNNNNNNNNNNNNNNNNNNNNNNNNNNNNNNNNNNNNNNNNNNNNNNNNNNNNNNNNNNNNNNNNNNNNNNNNNNNNNNNNNNNNNNNNNNNNNNNNNNNNNNNNNNNNNNNNNNNNNNNNNNNNNNNNNNNNNNNNNNNNNNNNNNNNNNNNNNNNNNNNNNNNNNNNNNNNNNNNNNNNNNNNNNNNNNNNNNNNNNNNNNNNNNNNNNNNNNNNNNNNNNNNNNNNNNNNNNNNNNNNNNNNNNNNNNNNNNNNNNNNNNNNNNNNNNNNNNNNNNNNNNNNNNNNNNNNNNNNNNNNNNNNNNNNNNNNNNNNNNNNNNNNNNNNNNNNNNNNNNUUACUUCAAUCCACAACUUGAUUGCUGUUUUCAACCUAAAGUUCAAUGUUGCUCCUUAGCUUAAAAAUAAUUGGACCAUUCCCAGAACUCUAAUAGCUUGAAUUCCUGGGUCCACUGGUUGUCUAUCGUGGUAGAAAAGCCCUGGUUUCAGGAGCUCUUCACUGCAUAUAUUCAUUUUGAUUUGCACAUGGGUGCAUUUUUAAUGUAGAUUACUAGACCAUUUCCUAAGUUUAAGUUUUCAAGUUCAGUAUCCAUCUAAGACCAACAACGUUAAAUACUACAAGCUAAAGCAAAAGUAGGACAUUAGCAGAUCCAAGUAUUUUCUGCAGUGUGAACAGUAGUGAAACAUUUAACUGAUAAAGUAUAAUAGAAUAACAGUUUAAUCUUAUUUUCUUGUUUCAUUGUCUUAAUGAUAUUGAGAUUCAGUCUACUAAUCAUGUGUAGUAAGACCGCAAAUCAGACCACUCUUCACAAAUAAGAAAAAGAAUAUGAGAAAGGACCAUCUCCAGCAGCAGUGAAAAUCAAAAAUUGAUAUAUUUAUGAAGGUAUAAGGUUGUUGGUAAUCCUUAUAUAAAACAAAACACAACCUAUGAAGCCUAAAACAAUUGAGAGAUUAGUCUUACACAUCUGAAGAACAAGUUUGAAGAAGUAGAAGAACCAACAUGAACUCAUGGAACUCAGGUAAAAUCAUGCAUAUGCAUUUCAUGGUUUUUCACUGAGGAUAGCAAUAUUGUCUGCCAUCCUAAAAAUCUGGGUUUUCAGCUUUUUGAUCUUUAGUUCUGUUGUCUUAUGUUUAAGUUUCUUUACCCUUGUGGCAUUAAAUUUAUGUUUGGGAAAGAUCCUAAUUUGAAUUUCAAAUUGACAACUAGAAUAUUUAAAAGUCUUGCCUUUAUGCUCAAUUUAGUCUAGGGUUGAGAUCUUUUGUUGUGCCAACCCGUGACCAAAUGGUUUGCUGUAAUGAUGCCCAGAUCAGAUGUAUUUGUCUGAGUCUAGACCAGUUCUUGUUGGCUAAGUCGUGGUCCACUGAUGGACUGAGUAAGAGGUUAUACAACCUUAUUGCUCCAUGUUUAAAUCAAACUUGUUUUAGGAAAGGUAUCACUGUGUCCUUGAGUUGGCUCGUGACAAUCAUGUUGGAUCUGCAGCUGUCUUUAUUUGAUAUCAGAGAAAAGUGGUUUGCUAAACUAAUGUGGUAUUAUGCUUUUGGGAAAAAUUUUGCAAAACCUUUUGUCUCUUGCUUUUAAAUCAAACAUUGUUUAGGAUAGUUUUGUUUGUUUCUUUCUUGGCCUAGAACAGCUGUAUAUGUCCUCUCCCUUUCAGAGUUUGGCCAAAGACAAAAGUCCAAAACUCCUUUCUUGCUUUGGCCCUCGUGCUUGCCCUCUUGUGGCAUCUCUUUGGCUUGGGUCUCUCUCUUGUUAGAGCACUCCAUCAGCUUAUAUAUAUUGAGCAAGGCUGCCUUUGCUCAAUGGUUGUCAUAAUGUAGUUCUACAUUUGCUUUGUUGGGUUUCUCCCUUUGUUGGGUUUUUGGUUUUACUUUGCAUUGUUCAUUAGUCACUAAGUCUUCAUUUUGUGAUUAUAAACCUUAGAGCUGAACAAAACAUCUUCUCAUAAACUCAUUGCAUUCUGCAUACCAUGAGAUCAUUGGUAGUGCAGCAACCCAAGAAGUGUUCAUGAAAGAAGCAGCUGAGGAUAGCUGAGUUCUGAUGUAUCCAGUUGAGGUAGCUGGGUUCAUGAAAGAAUCAGUUUAGGAUAACUGAGUUUCUAAGAGUGAAACUUCUUAGAAGUCUUCAAGAAGAAUCAGUUAAGUAAUAGCUGAGUUCUGAGUUGAAACUUCUUAUACCUUCAUAUGUAGCCACUUAGAGACAAGAGAUGUAGAUCUAGACUAGUUUGGGACUAGGUAGGAUAACAAGUCGUUGCUGUUUCCUAUACUGUAAUCUUGUAAGGAGUGAGGUACUCAGAAACAAGAGAGAAAGUAUAGAUCUAGAUUAGUGGGUAGUUUAAGCAGGAUAGCAAGUCGUUGAUGUAUCCCUAGACUAUAAUCUUGUAAGAAGUGAGUUUUACAUAGUGGAAAGGUUUGUCCCUCAAGAGUUAGAAGCAUGCAGUUUUUCUCUCUGGUUGCAGGGUUUCUGCGAGUAAAAAAAAAUCUUGAUGUUCAUUGUUAUUUUACUGCAACUUUUAUUUAUUGUCAUUGUAUAUUUGUUAUUCAGGAUAGCUAUAACCCUUGUUAUCCCUGAGAACGAAUUUAUAUAUCACGUAAAAUAUCUUACAAAGAAUGUAUUAAAUUAUAGCUAGCCUCAUCUGAGUCACCUUGCUAGCUAUAUUUAGCUAGCGAGAUAACUAAAAGUCAUAAUAGCUAAACUUUGGCUAGUCUGCUGGAGCACUAAAAAUAUUUAAAAAAACUAAAUACGCUCUCUAAAAUAACUAAAAGCUAAAAUAGAGAGUCUAUUAAAGUUGCUCUAAGGUGUACCGUUUCGAGUCUCUGCAGAAGAUGAGUCUUAAACUGACGAACUCCCUGUCCACUUGACGGUGGAUCCAUUUUUUGUGCCUCUAGAAAUCCAUGGAAGCGGCCUGUUUGAACAAAAUAUAUUAAUAUAUAGACAAUAAAUUCUUUUUCCACUGCCCAACAAGGAAGUACUUUCUGCCAGAUCCACAGCAUCAUAUAAUACGAUCUUAAGAGCAAGUUAUGCAGAAUAUGCUGAGAACACUAAGAUUCUAUCCUCAUUGAAUAAAGAAACUAAUAAACUCUUCUUAAAAUGUCAUACAGGUGUUAUGAUUACCCAUCAUAUCUUGUCCUUGCUACAUUUUAGAAUCAUUUUUAACUACCAUCAAGGAAAUGCUGUCUACCAUUUUCAAAGCAUAAUAUAAAUUCAUGGUACAAAAACUGAUAGUUCUAAGCUAAUUAAGAAGGAUAUUGAAGCAAAGAACAUUAAGAUUCUAUAAUUUUAGAUAUAAAUAUAUUCAUUUAGAAAUGAUCGGAAUAUAAAUUAAGCUCAUAUUCUUAGUCAUACUUUCAUCUCCUAGUUAUUGUUUACAGUCCAGAAGCAGUAACAGUUCACUCACUAGCCCCCCAAAUAACUUCCUCUCUUAGUGAUUGGUAGUUGCAUCUCAAACUCUACAAAAGCAACUUUACAAGGAGGUUACAAUAGACAACCACCAAACAUUAUGAAGAGCAUCUCAAAGCAGCCACUAACAUCACGAAUAGUGUCAGGUAGACAGCGUCAAUUCGGUAGCCCACCACUCUAAAGUAAGCAAAAUAGCGGACAAGAAACACAUGAUGGGAGUUUUGGAACUUCCCUGUAAACUAUUUACACCUUAAUCUUUGGCUACAAUACGAAAUUCCUAUAGCACGAGGAGAAUCUGGAGUUACUUUGGGAUAAUACUGAGCUUUCAGCUUCUCUUUGGUCAGGCAUUCUGAAGGCAUCCUUGCUUUAACAAGAAAGCCUUGCACAUCGGAGAACUAUAUAAAUCAACAAGACAUCAAUCCUGACAACAAGUACCAGCUAUAUGGAUUCCCAAUUGCAGUCUAUCCUCAGAACAUACACAUAUCCAACUCAACUGCAAGCCUACUAGUGUCCCUAAAUUGACAGUAUCCGUCCGCCACUUCUCUUCCCCUUUGCCAGGACCUAAGACUGAUUGAGGCAAAAGAACAUCAUGUCCCCAAAAACUAUUCUUCAAAAUUCCUUAUAAUUUCCUUCAAAGGAACUCGAUUCCAAUUCCAUCAACCUAGCUACCAUUACACUACUCCUAUUCCUUUGCUAAAACUAUCAAACUAAGCAGGAACAUCUUUCCUAAACAAUGAACAAAUUCCAUCAACAUAUAUUUAUCAUUUGCAUAUACAUAACUCAACUAAAAAAUCACUACUAUCAACUCUAAAAAGUAAAAACAACAACGAAAUGGCAAACCAAUUAGACAAAACUACUUAAACUAGCAUAAGAGGGUCAAAAAGAAUUGACAUACAUAGAUAAGCAACCCUAGGGUUGUCCUCCUCAAUCUCAUUGGCAACCCUGAAAAUGGGAGCAAUAGAAGAAAGGCAGGAGGGCACAACUUCCCUGUCCAAAGCAUCGUCGCCUUUCGUCUGAAAGUCCACAACUCUAGCAGCCAUUCUCGUCAUCCCCCUCGACAGCGACCUCUGCCGCCCCGACGAGUUCGGCGCCUUGGUCCCGCUCGAGCUCGCCAUUCCUUCAAUACUAGUCUCCUCACUGAUUCUGAUGAAAAUGAGAGGUGUCAUCUGUUUUGGAGGGUUUUAUGUAGAGAAGGGUGUGAUGAUACUUUGGGAGAAGAGGGGCAAAGUGGGGAAUUGGAAGUGUUUUUGUUUUGGAGCUUCUUUUGUGAGUGCUUUUGCUUUACAUUUCUUAAGAGCGGAGAGGUUUGAGGGAUAAACAAAUCUGCCAUCGCCAUUGCUUUUUCUCUCUUUCUGUCUAUCUGGGUCUUUUUCUUCUUUUUCGCUUCUUUCUUUGUUUUAAAAAUGGUGGAGUUUUUUGCUUGCCCCGGAAGUUUUACAGGGCGGGAACUGUGCAUGGGAGAAAGAGAGCGGCGGGCCACCACCAACACUCUUUUUUUUUUUUUUUUUUUUUAAUUGACCUAAAAGGCAAGUAGUUGAUAAAGCAUUACAAGUUUACAACACUACAAGAUUUGGGGAAAAUGUGAAAUGCAAACCUGUGCUCAAACCAAGUGUUCUUUGGAGUGUCGGGGAUGGUAGACAUGUCAACAUUUGGCGAGACAAAUGGAUUCCUGAGUGUUCACUGUUCACAAUAUUUGAUUCAAAAACCACCAAACUGUGUGUUUGAGCUUGUGUCGGAUGUCAUUGACACUAACUAACGACCUGAGGUUGCUCAAAGGUCCUGUGUCUUCCUUUAAGUGAACGAAACUUGGGGGACAAGCUUUGUUGAAGCCCUGAAAAGCGUAGUUUUUACUCAGGUUAAAACGGCAUUUGAAGAAAGAGAAGUGCGCUAAAUUGAUGAUGAUGAUAUGGUCCUGGUGGAAGAACAGGAGCAAUAUGCUAUGGAAUAAUACGAAUCAAAACUCCUCAUGAUUUGAUGCAGGGAGCUUUAGCUUGGUUGGUUUCAACAAGGCAAGAACUGUGUCAAAGCAAACUCAGAUCGACAACCAAGCAAUGCUGGAGCCUACAACACUAUGGAGAUGUAAACUAAAUGUCGACGGCAGUUUUUUACCUUCAAUUACUCAUCCUUGAACCGUGGAACCGGGGGUCGUACUAAGAGAUGAUAAGGGUAAUUUCAAAGCAGCUUUUGCUAUCCCUAUAUUUUCAGUGGCUUCAGCGGAACAGGUGGAAUUAUGUGCCAGGUUUAAAGCAGCUUGAAACAAUGAAGAUUAUCAAUGUGGUAAGGGACUAUAUGGAAGCCAUUACAAACAUCUCAGAUGUGCAAAGUAUGCAUCUUGGAUUGGAGGGCCUUCUGCAAGAUAUUAGAGCUGCAAUCUCUCUAUACCAGGUAUGUCUGCAACAUGCAAGUAGAGAUUGUAACAGGGGUAGCACAUUGGCUUGCAAACACUGCAUAUGAGGAUACCAAUAGAUCAGUUUGGCUAGACAACCCACCUAUAUGUAUUCUUGAUAUUCUAAAGCAUGAUGUACCUAACCUGGGUGGCUAAUAUGCGCCCAGUGUUUCAAUAUAUUAACACCAUUCCAAGGAAUUAAAGAACAUUUGGGAAUAAUAUAUCAUAAACCAUAGUGACAAAAAGCUCUGCAUUCUUUUAUUACUUCAGGAUUUAUGUACCAUUAAUAUACACUCUCAUCACGUAUACAUUGUUGAAAACAUCCAUAUGAGAAUCUUCUACAUGUAAACUGGGUGUGUAUAAUACGACUCACAGGAUGAUUAACUUUUGCAGUGAUGGAAAGCAUUCAUUGCAGAAUGUGCCUCUAGCAGUCCUGCGAUACAACUCUGCACAUGAACCAAAGGCAAAAGUCGGUAGGAUCCACAUAUCUGCAGUAGAAAUGGUAGUACAGGACAACAGGUGAGCCACCAUGUUCAUUUGAACUUCGUCUGAAGUGCAUUAGUCUAGAAUCAUUUGCAUUUCUGCAUCAGCAUUCUCGAAACCUCUUCUUCAGAGACAAGAUAACAAUGAGAGCUACAUGAGUUUUCCUUAUACGGACUUGGUCGCAACGCCUGCAUUGUACAAAAAAGUCAAAUUAAUGUCUGAAUGUCUUCCCUUCUUAAAUGAUAGAAUCCCAUAAUUUAAUGAAAAAGUUUCCAGGCUUUGUAGGAGAGAAAAAACAAGAUUAAAUGUCAGCACAAUGGAAUAAAAUAAGAACCAGACCUGAUUAUUUGAACUUGUCACAGUAGCCCAUUGACGAGGAUGCUGUGGCCCCACUCCAGCGUGGCUGAUGAAUGCAAUUGUUGUUGAUUGUUCCCGUCGGCGAUUAGUGUGGGGGUGGCAAUUCUCUCAUGAACCACAACACAAAAGCUGAGGGUACCCAAGAGCCUGAAGAUAGAAGGGAAGAUAAUACUUGAUGACUAACUUUUUUAUUUUUGGUCAAAAAUACUUGAUGACAAACUUGAAAAGCAAAAUUGCAAGCAGCUGAAAAUGGAAGAUAGUAUUACCUAUAAAAUAGUACAGCAUCAGGAAAACUAGCGCUUUCCCGCCAUAUGCUUUUUUCAGACUCCAAGGAUCAUAUAGCUGGCAAAGAAUUAAAGUGAAUGGUAAACAUGAAAGAAGUGGCACAAAGCAGUAAGUAAGAUCGUUCCUUACUGCCAAGGGCUGCCAGAUGACACAGCCUUGGACUUGGCUGCGGUUUUGCGCAUGGUGAUUCUGCCCCCACCGAAGAUGUUAGAUGCAGCUGGACUAAGCUGCGCAGCUUGGCCAGCUAGAGAAGGAGAAAACAGAGCCAUUGUUGACGCAGCCAUUUGAGAAAAAUGUAUCUAGUCUGGUUAGACUUGGAUAAUGGGAUGUGAUGGCUGUUUGUUUUGUGAUGGUAAGAGACCUUGGUGGGCAUAUUUAUAGCUCUGGUGAUAGGGAUUAUGCAUUAUCUGUGUGAUAUCUUUAUCUCUAUUCUCAUUGGUGAAAAUGAAGUUCAAAGAUUUUCAAUAUAUCUUCAUGGAGAAAAUCUUCUACUCUGAUAUCUUUAUCUCUACUCUCAUGUGAUUCUUUCUAGUUGGCAUCAGAUGUUCCACUUGUUUAGUUCAGAAAAUCUGAAAGACAAUGAAGAGAUUAUCUCAUUGUUUUCAUUUAUUUUUAAGUUUAGAUACUUUCAUCUGUAGCCAGUAGUAUUUCCAAGUAAUGACACAUUCAUUUCCAGUUGGCUUGUGAUUUUAUAUGGUGUUGAGAGCAUCAACAUAUAUGCUUUGAUCUCAGUCCAAUAGACUUUUGGUAAGCAAUCGGCAAGUCAAUGAGACCAAAGGAUUAUAGGAUAGCAGGGAAAUAUUUACAUGUGAGAAUCUGUGAACACUGAAUCUAACAAGAAUUUAGUAUUUUAAUUAUGACACAGAAAUUGAUCUUACUGUACAAAGAAAAUCCUUGAAACUAAUUUCAUUGUUGAUAUGAAUGGUGCAGACCACAUCCACAAUAUCAUGAUUGUAAAAUCAUUACUACUGAGAUACAAAUCUGAACUGGAAAGAUUUUUAUGCAGGGAAGUAGGAUUCUGAAGUUGAAUUACUAGUAUACUGGGGUUCUAUGUAUUUUAGUCGAAACAGAACUGAACUACAAAGUGAUCGAUUCUCAAGUGCUGAGCCUGUCGAAUACAUACUCAUCCUAACCUCAUUUGGCUUCAUUGAGCGUAAACUAAAUGAUAUAACCUUAUUUUCCAGUACUAGAGCAGAAAAGUUAGCUAAAGCAUCUCAACAACAUCAUCAUUAGCUAAACAAUCUGGAAUUUGAUGUAAUAUACAAAGUGACCAAUCUAACUCAAUGUCAUCACAGUUUUACUGUUAAUCAACUAAAGGAGUUGCAGCAACUCAAAUAAUAACUUGUGAGCUACCUUAUAUGAGAUUUGCUCGUAACUAACAAAGAUCUAGAAGCAAUCCAUGGUCAUGCAGUUACUCAACUACAUGAUAAUCAUGGCAACUCAAAUAAGGACUUAAUAUUACCACAUAUAUGAGUUCCCUAGCCAACAGAGAUUCUAGCAUAACUGAGUCAUUUGUGAGAUUAUGAUUGAAUUACAAAUCAAGACAAGAAAACAAACUCAUUAGUUGACACAAGUCCGACUGAGGAACAAACAUACCUGUCGGAGUAAAUGUAACUUAUUUAUAGUGUAGAGCAGUCGCCACCCCGGAUUCAAGAGGAGUCAGGUAUCCAAUCUUUUGGCAAUGACGAUUUGAAUAUUCGGAGGAGCAAUGUCCUCUCCUUUCUCCCUAGCUUCUUUGCACCAUAUCCACGGAAUACACCAAGCUUAAGUGCCUUUUUCCCUUCUUCCACCGCUUGUUUUCUCACGGCCACCAAUAAAUCUGUCCCUUGGGGAUCAAUGCUGUUCUCUUCUUUUUCACUUUCACAUUUCUCUUUGUUUUCUGCAAUUGAACUUGCGCCAUCCGCUAGUUUGUUGGACUGAUGCUUGUUUUCUUCAUCAGCCUUAGCUGCUUCUCCACGGAUGCCCUUAUCACAAUCAAGGCUAUUGCUUCCCCACCAUCUAUUGGAUGCAGUUGAUAAACCUUCAGAUGGGAAUCCAUUUUUCAAUUCUUCCAAGGUUGUACCUUUGGUCAAGCUUAACGUGAGAAGAUUGUGAGGCCGUCCAGUCUGAACAUUUUUGCUUCCUUGCUGCUGCAAAUUAUUAGAGGCCAUGACACCUUGUGGUUUCGACUGCAUUACUGGGUGUUGGGAAUCACUGCAUUUAAAAAUGAAGGCUAAAGAAUAUGAAAGGGAACAAUGAACAAAAAAAGGUUCACCAGGAACAUUUAAUCUCAUGACCAAUCUGUUGGUCAAAAUGUCUAUCACGAUUGAGUUGGUUCAAACAAAACAAGUAGAAUGCACCAAAAGUAGUGUCACAGAGAGGAAUAUCAAAGAUGAGUAACAAUAAACAAAGAGGGUAAACACCACCAGGUAGCAGCUUUAGAUUAGUAUUUUAUGAUUCUCAGACUCUUCUUCAGACAUAGUCAGAUAUACAUAACUUAUAAGGUUUGAUGGCUAUCUGCUUCAUCAAUGAUCUAAAGACAGGAUUUUGAUGUGAUUUAUUUUCAAUAUCCAACAAUAUUUCUGACCCAUGUGUAAUUGAUUUCAGUAUAUCAUUAGAUGUGCAGCACAAUCUUCUGUUCUUUGGUUAUGUAUCCGUAACCCAAAACCAACCAACUCUAGAUAAAUCUAAGCCUAACAAGAAGUCAUCAAGUAAUAAAGGAUAUGCAGUCAGGGGGAUCAGCAAUCAUUUGAAACCCGAGUCCCAAGUGUGUGCCAAGUGAGCGUCUGAUCAACACACAAGCACGAUGCAAAAUGCUCUCCUAACCUUCAAGCAAAAGAGACUUGGGCACCAUAAUCUCUAAAAUAGCAUCUCAAGCACCCGUAAGAUCUCACCUUUGGCGAUUAUAUCAAAUACAGGACCAAGAGUAGCCGAAGCUAGAUUGCGAAAAACAUCAGAUCUUUAUGUACCAAUCUUUGGCAUCUAACUUCGUUGCUUCUAUUCUUCUCCAGACAAAUUGCAUUCUCUACGAAUAUGCUGCAAAUUUCACUCCUAAUCUAUGGACAUCCAACCCAAAAUCUUGACCAAACCUUUUCAACUUUUCUAGAGUAGAUUCAAAAUCAUUUAGCAACACACACACAAGGGAAUCUAAUACAAAAAGCACAGACCUUUUGGAAGCAUGAAUUUGAAGGUUCUUUCGGGAAUUAAAACGUAAAGACAUAAAAAAGCGAAGCACAGGAAACAGAAUAAGAGAGAAGCUCGCUUACAAUUGGGCUGUUGUUGUUGACUUGUUGUGGCUGCUGUUCUAGUGUGGCUACUGCUUAAGCUCUCAAUUUCAGACACCCAAAAGUGGAGAGCUCAGAGUCGAAGAGCGCGUCGGCUACUUGAAAGACAAAAGUCUCUCUGUUCUAUAUUGUUUAAGCAACCAACACGUGGCAGAAUCGUGUUUCUCAGGAUUCGAAUAUUCUAUUAUGUGGUAACCGGUAAGAUUGAUCGAGCGACCUAAUACCUAAUGUCUAGUGUUCGAAUUCUAACUCCUCCUGCUUUGUGGCCUUCAGAAUUGGGAACUUUGGAUUAGCAAAGCGGGGGGUACAGGCUCUAGACGACAUCAUUGCCAAUUGCUUCUAAUCUGCCAAGUUUAAAAACAAUUUUUUUUUUUUUACCCUUUUCUUCUGAAUAUAAAUUGACGAAAUUUACCGCGGAAUGUUUGAAUAAAUUUCACAAGUACUAGACUAUUCUUCUAUUUUAAGGCGCCUCUAUAGAUUGAAAAUGAAAUUUGGAGCUCAUCAUCCUGAGAUUAAAGGAGGUACAGAAUCUGGUUUAUGAGGUAUAUGUUGAACCAUAAGGUGUCUACUAUGAAGCUUACUAAGCCAAAGCUAGUCAGCUAGAGGUUCUCUGCUCCAAAUGAAUAUUCAAAAUUUUCAAUUUAAAAUCAAAAGCUAAAAUCAAUAGCAGUUCAUGAAUCAAGUGAGCUUCUAUCCUAAUGAUGUACAUGAAAAAUACAAGAAAAAGAUAUACAAGUCACUCUACUUGAUCUGCCUCAUAAAAACUAACUCCUAUGAUGCUAUAGAAUUUCACAUGAAUAAACUAGUGUGGACAUGACCUGAGAUGAUAAGAACUUCACAGUGCAUGGCAUCUUAAGUUCAUUCCCUAGCUUGAAGCCGUCGUCUUAUCCUUCCUUCCGGCAAGAAUCAUAGAAAUUUGUAGGCCUCGACUGAAUGCUUGGUUGAAGAGCAACCGUGUUUGGAACUCUGAGACAAAUGGGAACCAUGACAAAAUGGCAACAGGCGCGAAGACUACUACUCCCAUUAUAUAAUCAUAUGCUCUUCCCAGCUCCUUGAUUGAUUCCCAGAAUCCUACUCCCUUAAGCAUUGGCCUGCAUACUUGCCCGAUCUAGGAAGGACAAUAUAUAAAUGGUUUCAGUGAAUACAAUCCAUUACAAAACACUUGUGUACAAAAAGAAAAGAAGAAAAAAAAAACUACUGUUAAGAGAACCAAGAUACACCCUAUUUAUUUUAGUCUGAGGAGUACUAAACGGAUGAUAUAGUCUAAGAUGUGUACUAGUAUAAUACAUGAAAUGAGAAAUCUGAAGGCACUAAGUGCAGAUAACCAGAGACAGAAAAGAUACUUACAAGAAGAAGUGCCCACCCUGUGGGCAAGAAGGCAAGGAUAGAGGCAAACAGAUCUGAAAUAGUAAGCCCACAGACAACAAAUAGUACAGUCAUGACCGACAUGAAACCAAGGAAAAGAAGUGCUUUCAGAAUUCUGAACAUGAGCUGAAAGUCGGUGCCAAAUCUUCGUCUACCCAUUGACACCAUCUGACAGAAAUGUAACAAACAAGCAAGUAACAUCAUUCAUUUGAUACUAUAUAAACUUCCCAGGAAAAAAUGAUACUGAUAAAAGUAGAAAAGGUAUGCACAAACUGUCAUGUUAUCUAUAACGUUAUCUAUAACUCGAAUGAACCUAAACAACUUAUACUUCAAAAACAUUCAUAACUUACACGUAAAAAUUUGGCUUAAUCUCUAAACAAAGUUUAAUGCUUUAUUUGCGAUUUUCUUGUGCAUACCUUUAAGACGAGAAGCACUGUUACCAUAACCACCCAAGAAAGUCCAUAAACCUACACACAAAUUGAAAAAAGGUGGUCAGUCCUGAACGUCAAAAGCAAAAAGAGACAACAUACUGAUAUAUAUUUGAACAUAAAUAGUACCAGUAAACUCUUGCUGAAAUGAGCUAUAUCGAGGUGGUAAACAAUCCCAUAUUGGUAAAAGAAGAAGCGAAAUGCAAGCAUUAUCUCAAGAAUUCUUCCACGGAUAAUAGUGUGCUUAAGGUGUUCCUGCUCUUCAUCCCACCAUGAUUCCCAACUUUUGUCAGGUGAGAUCCCAAUACCACCACGAUUUCCCAUCCACCUCUUCCAAUCAGUCCAAUCAUCUACAGUUUUUUGCCAGUCAAAGCUGGACGGAUUAAAGAUGAAUGGAGCAAACAACCAGGAAGCAACCAGAAACCACAUGGAGAAUGUGAUGAAAAAAUACAGAUUUGAACUCCUAUAAGCAUUCCCGUAGACUCCAUAUACAAUCAGCAGAAUCAACAGCUCCAACCCUUUCACAAAGUGACUUCUUGAGUACAGCCUGUAGUUAUCGGCAAACUUUGCAUGAAAAACCACAAAACCACGGCCAGUUGCUCUAUAUUUAGAUCCACCAUGUAAGAUUGUCCUUCCGUAAUAAUGUGCUUUUGUUCCUAGUUGGAAAGUGAAGAAAACAGAAGCCAGCUGCAGCUGCAUGAUGAUGAAAUCACCCAAGGCAGUGCGAAAUCCUUUCUCCAGACCAAUUUCCAUAACCAUGGGGAGGACCAGCAACAACCCCAGUUGAAAGACAGACUGUGUAGCCAGAGCUUCUUCAAAAGCCUUGGUCUGAUGUAUGGCUGGGCUAUCCAGGAUCUCACUUUCC